This 56207-nucleotide long non-coding RNA is filed under the name Citrus maxima (pomelo). Its description in RNAcentral is "long non-coding RNA (CMAX_LNC000212)". The record is from RNAcentral. Lineage: Eukaryota; Viridiplantae; Streptophyta; Magnoliopsida; Sapindales; Rutaceae.
UUUCUCUUCUUCAUUUUUUUUCCCCUUUGAAGUCUUUCAACAAAAAUGGGUGGCAUCAUCUCAACCUUCUUCUCAGCGGACACAAUUCGUCCAAUUUUAUUUUACGUCGGUGGACAAGCAAAGAAUAUAUGGGGUCUUAAAGGUAAUCUCGAUGACUUGCAAACUGAAACGGAGAACUUGAUUGCGAAAAAACAAGAUCUGCUGAAUAAGGUUAGGCUUGCUGAACAAACACAGCCUCGUGGCCAACGGACGAGCACGGUGAAACUCUGGUUCGAAAGGGUGGAUCGAAGUGUAACUCUUGUUGAGGGGCUGCAACAAGAAAGAGAUCAAGAGAUUGACAGAUUGUGUCUUGGAGGCUUCUGUUCCAAGGACUUGAUUUCAAGCUACGACUUCGGCAAAAAGGUGGAGAAGUUGAAGGAAGAAGUAAUCAAAUUGAGAGAAAAAGGAGAAGCGAUGAAAGAAGUUUAUGAGGGGGUACCGGAAGGUGCAGCGGUUGCAAUAGCUGUUGACCGAACAAUUGUUGGUCAAGAAUCAAUACUUGACCAAGUUUGGAGAUGCAUCACUGAUCAAAAAAAGAAUAAUGGAAUUAUUGGCUUAUAUGGUAUGGGGGGCAUUGGCAAAACUACUCUGUUAAAACAAGUCAAUAACAAAUUCUGCAGUGAGGAGCAUGAUUUUGAUGUCGUUAUCUGGUCGGUUGUAUCUAGAGAGCCAAACUUGAAUCAGAUUCAAGAGGAUAUUGGCAAAAGGAUAGGCUUCUCAACAGAUUCAUGGGAGAGAAAAAGUUUUGAAGAAAGGGCUUCAGACAUCACCAAUACUUUAAAGCAUAAGAAGUUUCUAUUGUUAUUGGAUGAUAUAUGGGAGUCCGAAAUUGAUUUAACCAAAUUGGGCGUCCCUCUUCAGACACUAGAUUCUGGGUCCAGAAUAGUCUUCACAACUCGUUUUGAGGGUACUUGUGGUAAAAUGGGAGCCCAUAAGAAUCGGUACAAAGUGUUUUGUUUGGGAGAUGAGGAUGCCUGGAAAUUAUUUGAGGGGGUGGUCGGGAGAUACGUUCUUAACAAGCAUCCCGACAUUCCGAAGUUAGCUGAGGAUGUGGCACGUCAGUGUCAUGGUUUGCCGCUAGCACUCAAAACAGUAGGUAAUGCCAUGGCGAGCAAAGAGUACCCUGAAGAAUGGAAAGAAGCAAUUGAGAUCCUAAGCGAAUCAGCUUCUAAAUUCGAAGGUAUGGAGAAAAAGGUGCUUUCGAGCUUAAAGUUCAGCUAUGACAGUUUGCCGAAAGAUGAACUUCGAUCUUGUCUCCUGUACUAUUGUUUAUUUCCCGAAGACUCUGAAAUUGAAAAAACCGAGUUGAUAGAGUAUUGGAAAAGUGAAGGAUUUGUGGAUUCCAGCAGCGGGUGGGGGGUUCUUGGUGCUCUCGUUCGGGCAUGCUUAUUGGAGGAAGCAGGUGAUCGUGUAAAAAUGCACGAUAUGAUCCGUGACAUGGCAUUAUGGAUAGCAAAUGAAGUAGAGGAGGAGGAGGAGAACUUUUUGGUUCGUGCAGGAGUUGGAUUAACUGACGCCCCAAAGAUUGAAGAAUGGGAAGGGAUCAAAAGGAUAUCCUUGAUGAGGAACAAAAUUCGAAGUCUACCACAAAUUCCCACUUGUCCGCGUCUGCAAACAUUGCUUCUGGCGAGUAAUCGUAUUAAGGAGAUCACUGAGAGUUUCUUUCAAUCUUUGCCUUUGCUUAGAGUUUUGAAUCUAAGUGAAAAUCAUUACCUAACUGAACUACCUGUAGGGAUUUCAAGAUUGGUUUCAUUACACCAUCUUGAUCUGUCUUUUACUGAAGUGCGUGGGUUGCCGCAAGAGCUCAAGGCAUUGGUGAAUCUGAGAUAUUUGAACUUGGAGUAUACAAGUGAAAUGUCUAGAAUUCCAGAGCAAUUAAUAUCAAGCUUUUCGAAGUUACAGGUACUCAGGAUGCUGUAUUGCGGUCCACGUCUCCAGCCAAUAGUGGAAGAAGGCAACGUUCUAUCUGCUGAUGCUGAAUCAUUGAUGAAGGAAAUCCACUGUUUGGAACAAUUAAAUCUCAUCACCUUGUCCUUACAUGGUUCGCGUGGUGUUGAAAACUUUCUGAAAUUCCCAAAGCUGCAGAAUAUCACUCAAGCUCUGCACAUCGAAGACUGCAACAGUCUACCGCUCAAUUUGUUGCAUCUAGCAAACAUGGAGCAUCUUGAGAAGUUAUUUAUCGAGGAUAGUAAUUUGGAAGACUGGAAUGUCGACUGCGCGGGAGAGGUACAAAAAAUGCGUAAACUUCACUUUGUUUCAAUAUACGAAUGCUCAAAUGUGAAGGACUUAACGUGGCUUGUUUUUGUUCCAAAUCUCAAGUGGCUGCGAAUAUUUGAUUGUGAUGACAUGGAAGAAAUAAUCAGUGUUGAAAAUUUUGAAAAAUUGAGUGAAGUUUCAGAGAUGAUGGGAGAGCUUAACUUGUUCUCGGAACUCGAAUCUCUGAAUCUAGGAUAUGCAAGUAAUUUGAAGCGCAUCUACCGCGAUCCCUUGCCCUUUCCACAGCUGGAGCAAAUUUACAUAUCGAAAUGCCCAAAGUUGAAGAAGCUCCCGCUCAAUUCCAGCAGCGCAAAGGGACGUAAAAUUGUCAUUUACGGGGAGAAAGAAUGGUGGGAAGAGCUACAAUGGGAGGAUCAAGCCACUCAAAGUGCUUUCUCUCCCUGUUUGGCUGUUUCGUGCCUUCAUGAAUAAUAAAGUGCAAUAAGGCGCAAAAGUGUGAAUAAAGUUUCUGCGUGUGCUUAAUGAUUAUCUUGUCUAUCCAUUUCAUUUAAUUUAAAAGCUUUCUACGGUGUUGCGUGUGUGUCACUUGUCAUUCUUCUGCACUGCUGUUUCCUAUUUCCAGUUAAUAAAAUUUUUUUGUUCUUAGAAAUGCUUUGCUGGUAAUAUAUUCUAUUUACUUUCCUCCUAUUUUCAUUACAGCUAAUAAUUGCAUAGUUGUAUAAUUUUUUAAUAUUAUCUUUAUUUUUAAAUAUACUUUUAUUUAUAUUUAUUAUAAAUUAAAUAAAUGUAUGAAUAGAAAUUAAAAUGAAAACUAAGUAUUAAAACAAGAAAUAUAUAUUUUGAUUUGAAUAAAAAUAUAAAUAUUUGUUUGUACUUUUUUAUAUAUAUAUUCAAUAUAAGAAAAUAUUUAUAAAAUAAAAAGUGUAAGAAAAAUAUCUUAUUAUUAAUUCUUAUUCACAUCAAAACAUAUAUUUCUUACUUUAAAUACUUAAUUUUUUAUUCAAAUUAUCAUUCAUAUGAUUUAUUUAAUUUAUAAUACAUAUAAAUAAAAAUAAUAUUGUAAAUUAUGUUGUUAGAAAUUAUUAGUUAUUAUAAAAAUAAUAUGGGACAAAUGGUAAAUCGGAGAUAUUGUUUCCUAUUUUCAGCUAAAAAAUUUAUUUGUUCUAAUAAUUGCUUUGCUAGUAAUAAGGCCUGCAAGUUGCUUAACUGAAUAUGACUUCUUUUUUAAAAAUGUUACUAUCAAUUUCGAUGAUUGAUUAUCUCGAAGUAGUGAAAUUUAUGUAAUGUUGGUAUUAAAAAAAUUUGUGCUACUGAUAAAAAAAGUCCAUUGGAUUCGGCCUAAAUGACGGAUCGUGGCUUGAUUUUCUCAUCCCAAAGGCUCUGUAUCUCACUUUCGAAAGUAGUUUUAGCAUAAUGUAGGUGAAAAAUUAAAAUAUUCUGCGAUCUCUAUAUAGCUUUUCCAACAGAUUUCACCCAUUUGACUGUAGACCAAAGCAUCCAUUGGAUCGAUGCAUUUAUUAAGAAGAGGAUCAUUCGGAGCUACAAUUGGAGGAUCGAGUCACGCAAAGAGUUUUCUCUACUUGUUUCGAUCCUAUGGAGAUAGAGUUUUCAUAGAUUGAUGGUAGGAGCUUUUUUGUCAAUUUAUGUAUCUAAUUGUGUGUAACAUGCUUUCUUGUCUUUCAUAUCAGACAUUGUAAAUUUGUAAUGUUGCCAUUUUCUUUUUCCUAUCAAGAAAGAAAGAGCAUUGCGAGUAGUCUUUCCAAUUUUCACUCCUUUUUGGUAUGUGAAGAAAAAUAAUAAAGCAAAACAAACUAGUGUUGAAGAAAAAGAAAAUGACAAGUUCAAUAGGGCAAAAGUUCACCAUCCCUUUACCAUUUGCUCAAGCAAGUAAGCUUUACGUUUACUUCUUGAGAUUUGAACUAACCAGACAACUUGUAAUGUUACCAUAAAGUUCAAAGAUUAGAAGAGAAAAACUUAUGUCUGUUAGGCACUAUUAUUCAGGCUUAAAUAAUAACAAUAAAAUACUACACCAUGUCUGCUCUCUUUUACUUUUCUUGGUUCUGUUGUAAAAUUCAGUUCUAUUUGAAGGAAAUUAUUAACAUCAAAACUAAAUACUUCGUGAGCAUCUACUGACAACAUACUCCAGAUGACACCAUAACCAUAUCAUAUAAAGCAAGAAAUGUGAAAUAAAUACAAAAUGAAUCAUAGGAGGGAAUUACCACACUCUGCGGUCUCUCCUGCUAAACCCUGCAGUUAGAAUGCCAUUUGUCGUGAGCACCUGAAUCCCCAAAGGACUCCCAGCUUCAAGUGGCUUUGACUUAGCUUGCUUUAGCUCCAUUGCACAUACUCACUCACAUGAAGGAAAUGAACAGAACAAGAAACCUCAUCAUGCCGAAUAUGAUAGAUAUGACAAGGCAUUACACUGUAGGAAGCUCCCGAUUUCUCUACAAAACUCUGCAGGUUCUCCACAAUCAAGGCGUGCUCCAUCUUUAACAGAUCACUUCUACCAUUAAGAGAAGGAAGAGAGUUCCUCUCGUGUGGCAGUAAAUCCUUACUUAACACAGGAUUGAAGCCAACCAAGAACGGAAGGCAAUUUCGUUAGAUUAAGAACCGAAUCACCAUCCAAUAUAGUAGCAUUUGAACCAGAACUCUUGUUAAAUUCUUGAAAUCUCCUGCUUUCAUCAGUCUGUAAGAGAAAUGAAGAUGAGAAUAAUAGCCAGAACCGGAUUAAAUUCAAUCUGGUCUUUUGAAGACUUCUAUAACAACUAAGAGAACCCAGUGUACCGCCUACAGAUACUGUCAGGCUUCUAUCAAAUAUCCCAAACACCAAAAACCAACCCAAUUAAGCUAACAAACCUGCAUGAAUAUCUAAAUUUCAAUGCACGUGAAACAAACUCCGUGUUCAAUCCACCAAAACUAGCAAAUUUCAAACUUUAUCACUCAUCAUUCUCUCUCUGUCAGCUGUAUGAGGCUAUGAGAUCAUGUUAUAAUGUUCAUAUUGAUGCUGAAUGUUUUGCCAGCUUGUCUGAAUUCCAUAAGAGAAUGCAAUGUGCACAUUAUUGUGCCUUGCCCACCAUUAGAUUCUAAACCACAAAAUCAUUGUGUGAAGUAGCUGACGUUUCGCACAUUCUUAUCCCUUAUCAUCAAUAUUCUUCUCCUCAAGCUUAGAUCAUGGAAAUUUGAGUGACAAACAUGAUAACAUGGUAACACCAUCUAAACUUUAGGGGCAUAAAGUAACAUAGAAGCAACAUGGGAUGUUUUAAAAUCUAUUAUAAUUUGCUUAGGCCCCUGAAUAAAAUUAAAACUUGUAAUGAAAUAAAGUAGCAAAAUAAAGAUUGGAGGUCGCAUGCUUGAUAUUUGAUGCUGUCAAAAUUAAUUUGCAGUGCUGAAAUUGCUGCUCCAAUAAAUUUUUCAAUGGGAUUUCUAUAUUUACAACAAAUUUUCAGUAUUGAAACAGGAUUAAAAUCAUAAAGUAUCUUUUAAACAGCAGAGGCAACAAGAUCCUACAGAAAAAGAAGGCAAAAAGUAGUUACAAGCUACAGAAACGCAAAUAUUCUACUGGCCAACUCCCACUAAAUUCGAAGCAAUUCUAAAAUCUCAGCUUGUACUACGACAUCAUUCCUUCUAUGUGGCCCAACUGUACUUCACCCAGAAAUCACAUUUCUUCAUCAGAGAUAAUUUUACUUCUAAUAAGAGAGAAUUUUUUAUAUGCAUGGCUUUACAGUAAUGAAUAAUUUUCCUUAAAUCUUUUCUAACAGACAAGAAAGCACAAAGCACAAAAAUUGAUAUAAACAACUUUUCUCGAAGCUUUUUCAUAAGAAAACCUGAACAUGAUUGCUUCUCUUAGAAGGCCCCCUAGCUUCCUGCAAGAACCUUGUGCCCCCAAAAAAAACAAAGGAUUAUAAUUAGGCAUAAGGCUCCCAAUGUUCUUGCAGGAAUUAUGAUGAAUAUGAGAGUUUCAAAAAAGAAAAAAAAAUAUUACGACAACCUCUAGGCGGAGGAAAUCAGUUUUCUAGGAAUUCGUUAGAUUGGUGAAGUUAUAGAACCGCAGCAAUUUGCUGUAGUUUGGAAUGUUUUUGCCUUUCAUUAUAGCAUUUGAAAAGGCUCAAGGAUAUAGAAGAACCUUGGCUACAAAUUCAGGGAAGAUUUCACUUAUAAUGAGAAAUAAUCACCAUUAUUAUAUACAAUGAGAAAACAGUUAUGGAAGAAAUAGAAAGAAUUACCCGAAACGGAGGAUUUGGAAGACAAUGAGACAAAAGUAUAAAGAAGAAGAAAUUGGAGAUAUAAUGACUGCCUAUUUCUUUGAUGAACCCAUCAAAAACGGCUUGAAAAUUAAAGAAAUUGUAAAAUGCUGUAACGGAGGAAUUGAAACUGUAAAAGAUGCAAGUUAAUUCAUGGGGCUGGCCAUCUUGAUUGAUUGAACACCUAUUAGAUUUUUAAUAUUAAAGAACUCACUUUAAUGAUGUUUAAUUGGUAGUAGCCCUUUAUAGUCUUUAAACCUUUAGCAGUGCAAAGUCACAAGCUUUGUCCAGAAUCUAAGGGCGUAAGUUAUAGGCGAUGGGUGCCAUCACCUGGGCAACGACGUACAUCGCUUGGGCGACAAGCCAAUUUACUAGGCUCAUCGCAAACAGCCUUCGUCGCCUGGGCGAUGGCCAAAUCCAUCCAAUAAACUUUCAGCUCAUGUUUGAUAGUCUAAAAAAAGUAGUUAUGGUGGCCAUCACACAUCACAUUUUACUGACAAGCUGUCUUAAUUUUCAUAGAAAAUUGUUCCUACUGAUUUUCCAAUACUGGCCUAAUACUUGCAGAUUAUUAAACGAUUAUGGAAUGGCGGCGAUUUUAGACCAGUAAUUUUGUCAAUAAUUGCUAAUUCGCAAUCCCUUUACAAAUCUAAUAAUCUACUGCAUACACGCUCUUGAUGACUUGGAUUCUCAAAAAAUAACCAUUUUACGCCGCUGAAGCGCAGAAAAAUCAAUUGUUUUAUCCACUUCCAAAUAAAACUUAUUCUAGUAAAUGCGAUAAAGAAAUGUUUAUUUCAAUUUCCAACCCAGAUCUCAUAAAGAAUUUCUCACUCAAAUAAACAAAUAAAUAUCAUCUGGUAAUGGUAUGACAUUUAUUUUGAAGUAAACACUGGCCCACUAUUUUCUCAAUUUUCCAUUGUUUGAGGACACCAUUUUCUCAAUUGAAGAACAUGUUCUGGCCAAAAUUCACAAUUUUCUCCACGUGAUUUAAAGCACACAGGAUUCACACUUUUCUCCACGUGAUUUAAAAGCACACAGAAUUCUCCUGACCUUAAUUACGGAUCUUAUUAUGUUUAUUGAAAUCCAAUAUUGUAGACUCAUUGUUGUAGCUAGAAAAUCAUAUUAAUAGAGUAAAAUUUAUAAAUAAUCAAAGAAAAGAGUUCACGCUCUUACUUCAUUACUUUUAUAAUCUUAUUAGUAUAUCUACUUACAUGUCUUCAGAAAAUACAGUUUUAAGAGGAUAUUUUUAUUUUUCUUCGUAAUAAUAGAUUUAAUUUUCAUCUUUCUAAUGUUAAGUUGCAUAUUUGGAGUAAAUAAUAUUAAAUUUCAAAUUAGAUCACAGACCCCAUUUUAAUAGAUUCAAUUGGAUUUUGGACAUCUAAUUAAACAACUGGACUAAUAAAUUGCAAAUGAAUGAGAUUUAUAUGUGAUUUUAAAAUAAAAUUUGAACUCAAAUCUAUGUAUUUAAUUAAUCCAACAGGACAAAUUUAUAAUUUUCACCAACUAAAUAAAAUAUGUUAUCAGAAACUUUUGGACCAAGUCGCGCACUUCGUGGGUCUGCUACUACUUAUAGUCCAUUCUCAUUCAACUUUCACAUCUUUUAUAUUAUGUACAAAUUGGAUUAUAUUCUAAAACAGUGUUUCUAAUUGUUUAACGUUUUAUUUCUGGGUAUAUUUAGAGAUUAAAAAAUAUGGGAAACAUAAUUAAUUUUAUCAAAUAAAAAGGAGUAUUGUUCAUUUUUUCAUAAACAAUGUGUUAAAAUACUUUUGGUAUUUAAGAAGUAAAAAUUUUUAUUUUUGUUUCAUAAAAAAGCAUUCAAAAUUAUAUUAAAUAAAAUUAAAGAUUAACAAAACUGACAUCUGAAUUUCGUGCAAAUUAUAAUAAGUUUAUCUCCAGCGUGAGUAACAUUAAAGCUUGGCUAGCAUCAUCAUAUUUUAUCUCCAGCAUCAAAAUUCUGAUAACAUCAACAUCAUAAUUCCAAGGUUGUCAAAACUAAUUAUCAAAUUAAAAUCCUUUGUGAUUUAAGCUCUCUUGGACUUUUAAAAAUGUUAUGCCACCCCUUCUUUAAUAAUAGUAGUAUAUGAUUAUGAUUUAAUUAUUUUAUUUUUUUAAUUUAUCAAACACCAAUCACUUAAAUUAAACUCAAGAAAAAAAUUAGAACAUCAAAGAAUUUUAAUUGCUUCUUAUUAAGUACUAGAAUUAACUUCUCCCAAUGAUAAUUUAUUAAGCAAACCAUAAUGAUCAUCUUACACUAAAGAACCAACCCAUCUUCAAAACACAAGAAUUUAGUACAAAUAAUUAUCCCAAUAAAGUUUAACGAAAAAGAAAAGAGAUAUUUUUAUUAUUUCUUUUACUUUCUUAGUGGCUCUGCUACUACCUAUAGUCCAUUCUUAUUCAACAUACAGAUCUUUUAUAUUAUAUGCAAAUUAAAAUAUAUUCUAAAAAGUGUAUCCAACUGGUUAACAUAUUAUUUCUAUAUAAUAAUCAAUUUUAUCAAAUAAAAAGGAGUUUUGGUCAUUCAUUUGGCUCCGUUGCCACUGUUGUACGCUACAAAAGCUUUUGUCUUUGCUGACUCAGUUACUGUAAAAUGUCGUUCAGCCCCUUAUACUCUAUUUUAUUUAUAAGAAUUAUAAAAAUUUCUAAUUACCUACACUUUCAAAAUUCAAUUUAUCUCCUUACAAUCUUUUUCAUUUACUUUUUUUUGUAAGUAUUAAAAAGUUUCUAUUUACAACCACGACAUAGUAAUCAUCAUAACACACGAAUAUUUAUAAAAAUAUAAAAAUAUCACUAAAUUAAUACUAAAAAAUGUUUUCCUCUCUUGAGGAAUUAUGGUAUCUCAUUUUCGAUCACUCAUUAUCAACAAAAUUUUCAAAGAUAUGAUCAUUCAUCUUCUUUAUAAUAUCAUCUUAUAAUAAUUAAUACUUUCAUGAUUAAAAAAAUUAACAAAAUAAAGAUAAAUUCCCUUUGAAUCCAUCCCUCUCUACUAUCAUUUUCUCUUCAUUAGCAACAUUUAUCAAUAAUUGAAGCCACCAUCAGACUCAUCACACAGAGAGAGUGAGAGAGGGGAAGAAGAAACGGGAAAAAAAAAUAUAUGAGACAUUUACAAUUUUAUAGUGUGUUUAUUCAACGAGAUUCAUAUAUAGUUGCUAAGGGGUUUCAUUAGACACAGAGAGUUUAUUACACUGAAACUUUUAAUCCAGUAGUUAAGGCCUCAACAAUCAGAGUUAUUCUUAGCCUAGCAGUACUUAACAAGUGGAUAAUCAGACAAGUGGAUAUUAAUAAUGCCUUAAUGGCAUUUCAGUUGAAGAAGUUUACAUGGCACAACCUGAGGGAUUUGUGGAUCCUACUAAACCCCAACACAUCUGCAAAUUAAAAAGGACUAUAUAUGGCUUGAAGCAAGCUCUCAGGGCUUGGUUUGAUAGAUUCAAAGCUGCAAUGAUUACUCAAUGACAUUUUCAACACUCAAAAUCAGAUAAAAAAUAUCAAAAUAUUUAUAUCAUUAAACUUUUAGGCCUAAUUAACUAAUUAAAGUUCUAAAUUUUUAUUUAGGACAUUAAAAAGACCGGAUAGAUUCUAUUAGCCCAAAAAUUUUAUUUUAAUUUUAAUAUUCAUUAAAUAUUUUAAACUUAAAUCUAUUUUUUAUUUAUUUUUAGAUGUUAGAAUUGCCCACAGCGAAUCACAAUUUUAAUAUCUAAUCUAAUUUAAUCUAAUAUUUGCUCUUGAUUUGCUCUUACUUAACUAUUGUGUUGUAAAGGGAAUAGUCCACAUUUAUAAAGUGCCCACGCCACCCUUGAAAAAGUUAAUUUUGAAUCUAAAUUUGAUUUUAUUUGUAACAAUUUUGUAUUAGACUAUUAAUUUAUUUAUGAUAGUUUGUAAAAGAAGUUUGUAUCCCUUGCAUGCUGCGUUACUUACUAAUUUAAUGUAUGUGACUUUUGUAAUGGAUAUUAAUGCAAGAUAUUUUUCGAACUUUACUUUUAUUUAAAUUUUAUUUUAAUAUGAUUAACUCAAAUCGAAAAUAAAAAAAUGUAUUAAUUAUUCGGGGAUCGGGGACCCUCGGGGAUCCCCUAUUAUUAUUCGGGGAGGAGAUAGAGAUUCUCUUAAGUAAUUCUGACAGGGACGGGAAGGGGAUGAGGACAUACACAAAAUAUUGGGAAUGGUUACGGGGAGAUUGGUCCCCUCCCCUCCCCUCCCCAUUGCCAUCCCUAACUCCCUGACUAAAUAAUUUGGGAAUAUAAGGAUGCAAUAAGAGUUGAGUGGUCUUUAUUCCCAUAGCAUUAUUUUUUUCUCGCUUCAUCCGUGCUCUAUUCAAUCUUUAUGUGCCGCUUGUGUUAUGUUCCUGCAUAUCUAAUUACCUUUAGCUGCUUGUGUUAUGUUUACUUGUUUUGAUCUUAAUCUUUAAUCACUUAGCCUGAAUAAGAAAUAAUUUUUUAUAUUUGCUCUGCAAUGAUGUUAUUCGGUGUUAAUAGCUUCGUUUUGUUACUCUUUUCCGCACAGAUUCUUGAUCUCAACAGAACUUUUAUUUUGAAUAUUCUGCAUAAGGACAAUCUCAUUUAAUACCAUCAGUGAUUUUUCAUUUUUUUUCUCUUUAGUUUUAAUAUGUUUGAUAACUGUAUGGCUAAGCAAUCUAUGCAAUUUUAUCUUGUCGUAUGUUUGAGCUCAUUUUUUGUUGCAAUUCUGAAUAUUUGGUAUGAAUUAUGUGAUACCGGACAAUACUGUUAACUUGUUCAUUUCUUAAUUUUAAUAUCUUGUCAAAGUCACUAAUAGCAUUUCAUCAUGCUAUGAGUUAAACAUGGAACAAAUGACGACAUGCAGUUGUGGAAUGUGGUAGAUCUCUGGAAUUCUAUGUCCUUAUGCUUGUAGGGCAACACAAUACAUUAGUUAAAACAUUAAAGACUAUGAUGUCCGCAGAAAAUUAUAUGUCAACAUAUGCACCAGGCAUGAUGAAAUUAGCCAAAGACAGUGCUUGGAAACAAUUAACUAACUUUUGGCAUUAGGCGUAUCAAGUUCAAUUCGGUAUUUCACAAAACUUAAACUAACUUAUUCCUAAUUAUAGUGGACACAAUUAACUAACUUUGGCAACUGUUCUGAAGAGGAUGACUUCUUCAGGAUGACAUCAACUACCAGCGAUGAUACUAUCAGUAAGCUGCUUCUGCUAUCUAUUAAAUAUUACUGCUAAACGUAAUAUUGACAAUUUGUCUGUGUGCAGGCCUGUGAUAACCACUUGGAUCGGAUAAAGGACUGGGACAUCAACAAUUUGCCCAGAAACCAAUAAGAUAUCAUUGUAAUGUUUAAUUAUACAUGUAUUAGUUUCUCUUUGGAUGGUGCUCUUUGUUAUGCAAAAGUAUGGCGACUAUGUUUCAACCAGUGUAUCUAUUAUAUACACUAACUAUGAAUUACUAGAAAUUUUAUUACAUUAAUCAUUUUUAGAUAGCCACUCAUCUCAAACGAAACAAACUGGUCAGAGACACUUGACCCAACAUGCUUGUGAUCGACCUUAGAAUAAAUUUUUCUCACUCAAUAUAGACAACUUCUGUGAGGUUAAUAUUUCUUCAAAUGUCAAGAAAAGCAUUGGCCACAUAAAUGCAUACACAUGUUUUUGUUGGGAAGUUAAGCAGACGGGAACAACAUUGGACUAUAUACUCAUACACCAAACUUUAAUAAACUAAUAAAUAUAAUUUAAUAAUAAUUUAUUUCUCCUCGCUUAUGUGAGAAAAAGUCAAACCACAUAACGUAUUUAUAUUUUGUUAAGAAAUUUUACUGAUUGAACUAAUUAACACUAAUUUCUUAUCUCUCUUAACCAACGGAUAUUUUGAAGAUAGUUUUUUAUUUUCUAUAUUUUAUGUACUAAAUGAUUUUAAACCUCUAUCACGUCAUGAAUAAAUUGGAGUUUAGGUUGCUUAAAAUAAUAAUAAUAAUAAUAAUAAUAAUAAUAAUAAUAAUAAUUAAUAAAUGUAUUGAUGGAUUUCAUAAUCAUCCCACUUAGGGGUGGGCACGGUUCGGUUCGGUUCGAAAUUAAGUAGAACCGAUUUAAAUCGGUUAUUUUAUAAAAAGAACCGAAUAAGAACCAAACUCAAUAAGAACCAAACUCAAUAAGAACCGAACUCAAACGGUUCUUUUCGGAUCGGUUCGGUUCGGUUCGGUUUUUUCGGUUCUGGGUCUAUUGGGCCUAUUUUGAAUUUUUAAAUUUUUAGCCCAUUGGGCCUCAUAAAUGUAAUAAUUUUUUUCAACAAUUAAUUUAUCCUAAUUUUAUUACAAAUAUUAACAAUAAAUACAAAGUAUUCAAAACACAUUUUAUCACUAAUAUCUUACUAAUUAUUAAUAAGAUACUCCCAAAAUAUGAAAUAUUAAAAUUUCAAAAUACAUAACCAAACUCCAAUACUCCAUCUAUAUAAACAUAAUCAUAAUGUUAUAAAGAGAAAUAACACAUGUUUGAUUUGAAUAAAAUCAUGUUUGAUUUGAAUAAAAUUAUUAACACAUGUUUGAUUUGAAUAAAAUAAAAAAAUAAUUCGGUUCUUCGGUUCGGUUUUUUGGUUCAGCUAAGUGAACCGAAUACCGAACCGACAUUUCAGUUUUUUUUACAAACGGUAUAUUCGGUUUUUUUAAAAAAUAAAAACCGAACCGAAUUAAAAAAAACCGUCGGUUCGGUUUUUUUUAACAUUACGGUUUUUUUGCCCACCCCUAAUCUCACUCCUACGCCUCAAGACAAACAAGCUCACACUUCACGGAUCAGUCAAAGGAUCGGCUUUCAAGUCGUUGAAUUCACGGUGGUCAAACUAACGGAAAAACUAACGUGACGUCAAUCAGAUACGGUUUAUAAUAUAUGUAUCCUCAAUCAACGCAAAAAGUUUGAUCUGAAAAACCCUCUGCCUAAAACGCGUUUUCAGAAACGCGGUUUUGUUUUUCAAGUGGUUCCCAGAGCAUCCAUGCCAUGCUCUGUAUCAAUCAUUUCGUGCAUGUUUGGAGUUUGGCACGGCCAUUUUUACUGACUUUGUUAAGAAGUACUUAGAAGCUCAUUAGGAAAUGAUAACAAACGAAGCCUUGCGCUUUUACAUGUUACAUGCAUUAUUGGUAAGACGGUUGAUGAGUUACGUUAUAUGAACCCACAAUUAGUCGCCCAAUAGCCACCAUAUAUUAAAUAAUCAGUCAAAUUUUGAAUUGGGUAGUUAACUAAUUUCGAAUUACCGUAAGUCAUAAAUAAUGCAGGUUAGUAAGACCCGAGCCUAGGCAAAUUAAGGUCGUUAUCGCCUCUAAAUCAAGGCUGCAUAACCCAAAGUUAAGGGCACAUGUUCGAGUCCCAACUCCACAGUGUUGGAACUCUAUUAUAGUAUUAUUCCCUUUCACAUUAAAAGGAUAGGAUGGUUAUUUCUCUUACAUAUGUAGAUAGAUCAAAUAUAUCUUCUAAAUAAUAAUAGAUUUAUCAUUUUAAAGAGUUGUUUUAGAUAUGUGGAUAGAUCAAAUAAUAGACACCCUUUCCAUGAAAGGAGACUCAUUGAUUAUUGUUAAAAAAAAAAUUCGUUGAUGUUAUUAGAGAACUUGCAAUUUUUUUAUAACACUAAAUUUUUUAAUUUUUUAAGAUUUUUCUAUGAAUAGCAUGAAUUUUUUAUAGCAUUGGUAAUGAGGAUAUUAUGGACCUUUAGAUUUAAAUAUUUUAAUCUUCGCCAUUCAUUCAAUUUAGUGGAUAAAUAACUAAUUACUUAAUUUUUCAAGUUGCAUGUAGUAUAUAAGUUUAUGUAUGUAAUUCUAUUUUUAAUAAAUAAAUAAAUAAAUUUUAAAUCACUAACAAAAAAAAAUGCAAAUAUGUAUGUUAGUUUAGACGUGUACAUAAUAGAUAUGAAUUGAUAUUAUUUAAUUAUUGCACAAGACAUGCUAAUAAUGAUCUCUUUUGUCAAUAAUAAUCAGGAGAAUAAAAUGUUAAUUUCUUGAUUUUACUGGAUGGCUAAGAUCGAGUUAAGUCAAUUUUCGUUAUAUUUGUUAAUCUAAUAAUAUGUUGGCGAAAAAGAGGGAAUAUGAUUACAAACUAAGAUUGAGUUAAUUUUUUUAAUUCAGUCUUUAAAAAAUUGUACAACUGGUUUGAUAAUUGGUUAAUGAAAUUUUAAAUAACUAAAAUCAAGAUAUUAUUUUAACUAUAACUUCUAAUUUUGUACCAAACGUUGAUGAUCUUGAUGGGCGCAGAGGAUAGUUGGGUACGGUGCUGUAGUGGGCAACUAUGAGGAUAAAGUGAUGGUGACUGGAAUUGACAUAGGGGUAUACUUGGAUGAUGUUGAUUAUAGUGCGGCUGAGGCUUUAUGCUUUAGCUUAGAGUUGCUUAUCAAGAAUCUAUUAAUAACACAUUAUACUCAUACACCAAAGUUUAAUCUGAAUGAAUCAAGUAAUUCUAUGUUAAUAAAAGUUUUUAGACUUACGAUGAGGGUCUAGUUUAUAUAAAUGCAAAUAACACUGAAAUCUAAUAAUCCUUUACAAAUAAAUAUGAUUUAUUCAAUUAUCGCAAACAAUUGUUUUAUCAGAGUUAAUUACAUUAUUGCUAAACUUGUAUAAGCUUUCCUGUUUCAAGCAUAUCUACUUAAUUACAUUAUUCAUCGACAAUGUUACUUUGCUAGUAGAAGUUUUAUGUUUUCAUACCUUAAUCACUAUUUAACGCUUCGUUUUCCAAUAGUUCUAAUUCUUCAAAUUUUGGUUUUAUUCUUCCAUAAUUAUAAAUUGAUACUGAUUCGCACGACUCAAAUUAAAGUGGUUAAUUACUCUAAAAGUAUAAAUUUGGCAGUCAAUAAUUACUUAAAAAUAAUUGCAAAAAAAUUAAUAAGGAAUAGUAUAAAUUUAAAAACCGCUAAAGUUACGAGAUCCAUGCUUGAUAUUUAAAUCAUGGUCAUAAUACUCUUUCUCUCUCUCUCUCUCUCUCACACACACACACACAUAUAUAUAUAACCACUUUCAAUAUUAUGUUACUUAGUUCUUAAUUAACCGCUCUAUAAAUAAAUAUGAGAAUUAAGUACAUAUUAUGCUACAACCUUAUUGGAGUGUUCCCACUACCAUAUUAGUAGUCAACAUUAGGUCUAAACACCCACAUAAUAUUUUUGGUGAACUUGCAACCACAACCUUUAAAUUAGGGGUGGGCACGGUUCGGUUCGGUUCGAAAUUAAGUAGAACCGAUUUAAAUCGGUUAUUUUAUAAAAAGAACCGAAUAAGAACCAAACUCAAUAAGAACCGAACUCAAACGGUUCUUUUCGGAUCGGUUCGGUUCGGUUCGGUUUUUUCGGUUCUGGGUCUAUUGGGCCUAUUUUGAAUUUUUAAAUUUUUAGCCCAUUGGGCCUCAUAAAUGUAAUAAUUUUUUUCAACAAUUAAUUUAUCCUAAUUUUAUUACAAAUAUUAACAAUAAAUACAAAGUAUUCAAAACACAUUUUAUCACUAAUAUCUUACUAAUUAUUAAUAAGAUACUCCCAAAAUAUGAAAUAUUAAAAUUUCAAAAUACAUAACCAAACUCCAAUACUCCAUCUAUAUAAACAUAAUCAUAAUGUUAUAAAGAGAAAUAACACAUGUUUGAUUUGAAUAAAAUCAUGUUUGAUUUGAAUAAAAUUAUUAACACAUGUUUGAUUUGAAUAAAAUAAAAAAAUAAUUCGGUUCUUCGGUUCGGUUUUUUGGUUCAGCUAAGUGAACCGAAUACCGAACCGACAUUUCAGUUUUUUUUACAAACGGUAUAUUCGGUUUUUUUAAAAAAUAAAAACCGAACCGAAUUAAAAAAAACCGUCGGUUCGGUUUUUUUAACAUUACGGUUUUUUUGCCCACCCCUAAUCUCACUCCUACGCCUCAAGACAAACAAGCUCACACUUCACGGAUCAGUCAAAGGAUCGGCUUUCAAGUCGUUGAAUUCACGGUGGUCAAACUAACGGAAAAACUAACGUGACGUCAAUCAGAUACGGUUUAUAAUAUAUGUAUCCUCAAUCAACGCAAAAAGUUUGAUCUGAAAAACCCUCUGCCUAAAACGCGUUUUCAGAAACGCGGUUUUGUUUUUCAAGUGGUUCCCAGAGCAUCCAUGCCAUGCUCUGUAUCAAUCAUUUCGUGCAUGUUUGGAGUUUGGCACGGCCAUUUUUACUGACUUUGUUAAGAAGUACUUAGAAGCUCAUUAGGAAAUGAUAACAAACGAAGCCUUGCGCUUUUACAUGUUACAUGCAUUAUUGGUAAGACGGUUGAUGAGUUACGUUAUAUGAACCCACAAUUAGUCGCCCAAUAGCCACCAUAUAUUAAAUAAUCAGUCAAAUUUUGAAUUGGGUAGUUAACUAAUUUCGAAUUACCGUAAGUCAUAAAUAAUGCAGGUUAGUAAGACCCGAGCCUAGGCAAAUUAAGGUCGUUAUCGCCUCUAAAUCAAGGCUGCAUAACCCAAAGUUAAGGGCACAUGUUCGAGUCCCAACUCCACAGUGUUGGAACUCUAUUAUAGUAUUAUUCCCUUUCACAUUAAAAGGAUAGGAUGGUUAUUUCUCUUACAUAUGUAGAUAGAUCAAAUAUAUCUUCUAAAUAAUAAUAGAUUUAUCAUUUUAAAGAGUUGUUUUAGAUAUGUGGAUAGAUCAAAUAAUAGACACCCUUUCCAUGAAAGGAGACUCAUUGAUUAUUGUUAAAAAAAAAAUUCGUUGAUGUUAUUAGAGAACUUGCAAUUUUUUUAUAACACUAAAUUUUUUAAUUUUUUAAGAUUUUUCUAUGAAUAGCAUGAAUUUUUUAUAGCAUUGGUAAUGAGGAUAUUAUGGACCUUUAGAUUUAAAUAUUUUAAUCUUCGCCAUUCAUUCAAUUUAGUGGAUAAAUAACUAAUUACUUAAUUUUUCAAGUUGCAUGUAGUAUAUAAGUUUAUGUAUGUAAUUCUAUUUUUAAUAAUGACAAUUGAUUGUGUUAGCAUUUUGGUCAAAAAGGUGGACCCCCCCAAAAACAAACAAAAAAAAUUUAUGAUAAUAAUUAACAUUGAUAAAUAAAAAUAUUAAUAAUGGGUGUGUUAGCAUUUUGGUCCAAAGCCGAUUUGGCCUUGACAUUAAUUGGAAUUUUGGAUCUAUAAUAUGAUUUUCACCGAAAAGAUAAUUUUGCCGCUAAUUAUUUGGGUAGUCAGAUAAUAAUAACAAAAAAAUGUUAUCUCGAUCUCACCUAUAACUUGAGGAGAUAAUAAUGAUAGUCUUUCAUAAUACUCUACUGUUUAGUUUCUCUUCUUCAUUUUUUUCCCCUUUGAAGUCUUUCAACAAAAAUGGGUGGCAUCAUCUCAACCUUCUUCUCAGCGGACACAAUUCGUCCAAUUUUAUUUUACGUCGGUGGACGAGCAAAGUAUAUAUGGGGUCUUAAAGGUAAUCUCGAUGACUUGCAAACUGAAACGGAGAACUUGAUUGCGAAAAAACUAGAUCUACUGAAUAAGGUUAGGCUUGCCGAACAACAACAGCCUCGUGCCCAACGGACGAGCACGGUGAAACUCUGGUUCGAAAGGGUGGAUCGAAGUGUAACUCUUGUUGAGGGGCUGCAACAAGAAAGAGAUCAAGAGAUUGACAGAUUGUGUCUUGGAGGCUUCUGUUCCAAGGACUUGAUUUCAAGCUACGACUUCGGCAAAAAGGUGGAGAAGUUGAAGGAAGAAGUAAUCAAAUUGAGGGAAAAAGGAGAAGCAAUGAAAGAAGUUUAUGAGGGGUUACCAGAAGGUGCAGCGGUUGCAAUAGCUGUUGACCGAACAAUUGUUGGUCAAGAAUCAAUACUUGACCAAGUUUGGAGAUGCAUCACUGAUCAAAAAAAGAAUAAUGGAAUUAUUGGCUUAUAUGGUAUGGGGGGCAUCGGCAAAACUACUCUGUUAAAACAAGUCAAUAACAAAUUCUGCAGUGAGGAGCAUGAUUUUGAUGUCGUUAUCUGGUCGGUUGUAUCUAGAGAGCCAAACUUGAAGCAGAUUCAAGAGGAUAUUGGGAAAAGGAUAGGCUUCUCAACAGAUUCAUGGCAGAGAAAAAGGUUUGAAGAAAGGGCUUCAGACAUCACCAACACUUUAAAGCAUAAGAAGUUUGUAUUGUUAUUGGAUGAUAUAUGGGAGUCCGAAAUUGAUUUAACCAAAUUGGGCGUCCCUCUUCAGACACUAGAUUCUGGGUCCAGAAUAGUCUUCACAACUCGUUUUGAGGGUACUUGUGGUAAAAUGGGAGCCCAUAAGAAUCGGUACAAAGUGUUUUGUUUGGGAGAUGACGAUGCCUGGAAAUUAUUUGAGGGGGUGGUCGGGAGAUACGUUCUUAACAAGCAUCCCGACAUUCCGAAGUUAGCCGAGGAUGUGGCACGUCAGUGUCAUGGUUUGCCGCUAGCACUCAAAACAGUAGGUAAUGCCAUGGCGAGCAAAGUGUACCCUGAAGAAUGGAAAGAAGCAAUUGAGAUCCUAAGCGCAUCAGCUUCUAAAUUCGAAGAUAUGGAGAAAAAGGUGCUUUCGAGCUUAAAGUUCAGCUAUGAUAGUUUGCCGAAAGAUGAACUUCGAUCUUGUCUCCUGUACUGUUGCUUAUUUCCCGAAGACUCUGAAAUUCUAAAAACCGAGUUGAUAGAGUAUUGGAAAAGUGAAGGAUUUGUGCAUUCUAGCAGCGGGUGGGGGGUUCUUGGUGCUCUCGUUCGUGCAUGCUUAUUGGAGGAAGCAGGUGAUCGUGUAAAAAUGCACGAUAUGAUCCGUGACAUGGCAUUAUGGAUAGCAAAUGAAGUAGAGGAGGAGGAGGAGAACUUUUUGGUUCGUGCAGGAGUUGGAUUAACUGACGCCCCAAAGAUUGAAGAAUGGGAAGGGGUCAAAAGGAUAUCCUUGAUGCAGAACAAAAUUCAAAGUCUACCACAAAUUCCCUCUUGUCCGCGUCUGCAAACAUUGCUUCUGGCGAGUAAUCGUAUUAAGGAGAUCACUGAGAGUUUCUUUCAAUCUUUGCCUUCACUUAGAGUUUUGAGUCUAAGAAGAAAUCGUUCCCUGACUGAACUUCCUGUGGGGAUUUCAAGUCUGGUUUCAUUACACCAUCUUGAUAUGUCUUCUACUAAAGUACGUGGAUUGCCGCAAGAGCUCAAGGCAUUGGUGAAUCUGAGAUAUUUGAACUUGGAGUAUACACGUGGAAUGUCUAGAAUUCCACAGCAAUUAAUAUCAAGCUUUUCAAAGUUACAGGUACUCAGGAUGCUGCGUUGCGGUCGACGUUACCAGCCAAUAGUGGAAGAAGGCAACGUUCUAUCUGCUGAUGCUGAAUCAUUGAUGAAGGAAAUCCACUGUUUGGAACAAUUAAAUCUCAUCACCUUGUCCUUACAUGGUUCGCGUGGUGUUGAAAACUUUCUGAAAUUCCCAAAGCUGCAGAAUAUCACUCAAGCUCUGUCCAUCGAAGACUGCAACAGUCUACCGCUCAAUUUGUUACAUCUAGCAAACAUGGAGCAUCUUGAGGAGUUAUAUAUCGAGGAUAGUAAUUUGGAAGACUGGAAUGUCGACUGCGCGGGAGAGGUACAAAAAAUGCGUAAACUUCACUCGGUUCUCAUACGGAAUUGCUCAAAUGUGAAGGACUUGACGUGGCUUGUUUUUGUUCCAAAUCUCAAGUGGCUGCGAAUAGUUGGUUGUGAUGACAUGGAAGAAAUAAUCAGUGUUGAAAAAUUUGAAAAAUUGAGUGAAGUUUCAGAGAUGAUGGGAGAGCUUAACUUGUUCUCAGAACUCGAACUUCUGGUAAUAAGAAAUGCAAGUAAUUUGGAGCGCAUCUACCGCGAUCCCUUGCCCUUUCCACAGCUGAACCGAAUUAGCAUAUUGAAAUGCCCAAAGUUGAAGAAGCUCCCACUCAAUUCCAGCAGCGCAAAGGGACGUAAAAUUGCCCUUGCGGGACAGAAAGAAUGGUGGGAAGAGCUACAAUGGGAGGAUCAAGCCACUCAAAAUGCUUUCUCUCCCUGUUUCCGACCUAUUGAAGAAUAAAGUGCGAUAAGGCACAAAAGUGUGAAUAAAAUUUCUGCGCGUGCUUAAUGAUUAUCUUGUCUAUCUAUUUCAUUUAAUUUAAAAGUUUUCUACGGAGUUGCAUGUGUGUCACUUGUCAUUCUUCUGUACUGCUGUUUCCUAUUUCCAGUUAAUAAAAUUUUUUUGUUCUUAGAGUUAGAAAUGCUUUACUUGUAAGGGAGAUUCACAAUUUUCCCAUAUUAUGAUUAAUAUAUUCUUUUUACUUUCCUACUAUUUUGCAUAAUUUUUUAAUAUUAUUUUUAUUUCUAAAUAUAUUUUUAUUCAUAUUUAUUAUAAAUUAAAUAAAUGUAUGAAUAGAAAUAAAAAUAAAAAUAAAAAUUAAGUAUUAAAACAAGAAAUAUAUAUUAUGAUUUGAAUAAAAAAUAAAUAUUUUUUUGUACUUAGAAUGCCAUUUGUCGUGAGCACCUGAAUCCCCAAAGGACUCCCAGCUUCAAGUGGCUUUGACUUAGCUUGCUUUAGCUCCAUUGCACAUACUCACUCACAUGGAGGAAAUGAACAGAACAAGAAACCUCAUCAUGCCGAAUAUGAUAGAUAUGACAAGGCAUUACAUUGUAGGAAGCUCCCGAUUUCUCUAAAAAACUCUGCAGGUUCUCCGCAAUCAAGGCGUGCUCCAUCUUUAACAGAUCACUUCUACCAUUAAGAGAAGGAAGAGAGUUCCUCUCGUGUGACAGUAAAUCCUUACUUAACACAGGAUUGGAGCCAACCAAGAAGGGAAGGCAAUUUCGUUAGAUUAAGAAUCGAAUCACCAUCCAAUAUAGUAGCAUUUGAACCAGAACUCUUGUUAAAUUCUUGAAAUCUCCUGCUUUCAUCAGUCUGUAAGAGAAAUGAAGAUGAGAAUAAUAGCCAGAACCGGAUUAAAUUCAAUCUGGUCUUUUGAAGACUUCUAUAACAACUAAGAGAACCCAGUGUACCGCCUACAGAUACUGUCAGGCUUCUAUCAAAUAUCCCAAACACCAAAAACCAACCAAAUUAAGCUAACAAACCUGCAUGAAUAUCUAAAUUUCAAUGCAUAUGAAACAAACUCCAUGUUCAAUCCACCAAAACUAGCAAAUUUCAAACUUUAUCACUCAUCAUUCUCUCUCUGUCAGCUGUACGAGGCUAUGAGAUCAUGUUAUAAUGUUCAUAUUGAUGCUGAAUGUUUUGCCAGCUUGUCUGAAUUCCAUAAGAGAAUGCAAUGUGCACAUUAUUGUGCCUUGCCCACCAGUAGAUUCUAAACCACAAAAUCAUUCUGUGAAGUAGCUGACGUUUCGCACAUUCUUAUCCCUUACCAUCAAUAUUCUUCUCCUCAAGCUUAGAUCAUGGAAAUUUGAGUGAUAACACGAUCUAAACUUUAGGGGCAUAAAGUAACAUAGAAGCAACAUGGGAUGUUUUAAAAUCUAUUAUAAUUUGCUUAGGCCCCUGAAUAAAAUUAAAACUUGAAAUGAAAUAAAGUAGCAAAAUAAAGAUUGGAGGUCGCAUGCUUGAUAUUUGAUGCUGUCAAAAUUAAUUUGCAGUGCUGAAAUUGCUGCUCCAAUAAAUUUUUCAAUGGGAUUUCCAUAUUUACAACAAAUUUUCAGUAUUGAAACAGGAUUAAAAUCAUAAAGUGUCUUUUAAACAGCAGAGGCAACAAGAUCCUACAGAAAAAGAAGGCAAAAAGUAGUUACAAGCUACAGAAACGCAAAUAUUCUACUGGCCAACUCCCACUAAAUUCGAAGCGAUUCUAAAAUCUCAGCUUGUACUACUACAUCAUUCCUUCUAUGUAGCCCAACUGUACUUCACCCAGAAAUCACAUUUCUUCAUCAGAGAUAAUUUUACAUCAUUCCUUAUCAUUAGGCAUAAGGCUCCCAAUGUUCUUGGAGGAAUUAUGAUGAAUAUGAGGGUUUCAAAAAAGAAAAAAAAAUAUUAUGACAACCUCUAGGCGGAGGAAAUCAGUUUUCUAGGAAUUCGUUAGAUUGGUGAAGUUAUAGAACCUUAGCAAUUUGCUGUAGUUUGGAAUGUUUUUGCCUUUCAUUAUAGCAUUUGCAAAGGCUCAAGGAUAUAGAAGAACCUUGGCUACAAAUUCAGGGAAGAUUUCACUUAUAAUGAGAAAUAAUCACCAUUAUUCUAUACAAUGAGAAAACAGUUAUGGAAGAAAUAGAAAGAAUUACCCGAAACGAAGGAUUUGGAAGACAAUGAGACAAAAGUAUAAAGAAGAAGAAAUUGGAGAUAUAAUGGCUGCCAAUUUCUUUGAUGAACCCAUCAAAAACGGCUUGAAAAUUAAAGAAAUUGUCAAAUGCUGUAACGGAGGAAUUGAAACUGUAAAAGAUGCAAGUUAAUUCAUGGGGCUGGCCAUCUUGAUUGAUUGAACACCUACACGUGACAAGUGUGCGAUAAUCGUUAUAUCUUCAAUUUUAGGCAGUUUUUCAUUUCUUUUAUUUUAAUAGUAAAAAAAUACGCCAUUUUAGAUACAAAUGCCCCUGACUAGCCCUUUUGUAAGUUACAUUGUUUGGUGCGAUAGUCCCGCACGUGCUUGACAUUUGCCGAAUAUCUUAUGCGCAUUUUUUUUCCCCUCUAACUCAUUGUGUAUGCUCAUCUUUAUGUGCGUUAUUACCUAAACUUAUAUACCAAUCAAAAUAAAUCAUAAAGUAUCAAACGCUUUUAAAUGAUUUUUAAUAUUAAAGAACUCACUUUAAUGAUGUUUAAUUGGUAGUAGCCCUUUAUAGUCUUUAAACCUUUAGCAGUGCAAAGUCACAAGCUUUGUCCAGAAUCUAAUGGCGUAGAUUAUAGGCGAUGGGUGCCAUCACCUGGGCAACGACGUACAUCGCUUGGGCGACAAGCCAAUUUACUAGGCUCAUCGCAAACAGCCUUCGUCGCCUGGGCGAUGGCCAAAUCCAUCCAAUAAACUUUCAGCUCAUGUUUGAUAGCCUAAAAAAAGUAGUUAUGGUGACCAUCACACAUCACAUUUUACUGACAAGGUGUCUUAAUUUUCAUAGAAAAUUGUUCCUACUGAUUUUCCAAUCCUGGCCUAAUACUUGCAGAUUAUUAAACGAUUAUGGAAUGGCAGCAAACCGGCGCCGCGGAGGGGGGCCGGCCCGGGGUUGUUGUGCUGAUUUGGGAGGGGUAAUAAACCCUCUGAGGCAAUUUAGCAAACAUAUUAUGUGCCAUGAUUUUAGACCAGUAAUUUUGUCAAUAAUAGCUAAUUCGCAAUCCCAUUACAAAUCUAAUAAUCUAUUGCAUACACGCUCUUGAUGACUUGGAUUCUCAAAAAAUAAUCAUUUUACGCCGCUGAGGCGCAGAAAAAUCAAUUGUGUUGUCCCUUUAUACUUUUUCAUUUGUUUUGCCCACGUCCAAAUAAAACAGAUUCUGGUAAAUGUGAUAAGGAAAUGUUUGUUUCAAUUUCCAACCCAUAUCUCAUAAAGAAUUUCUCACUCAAAUAAAUAAAUAUUAUCCGGUAAUGGUAUGACAUUUAUUUUGAAGUAAACACCGGCACGCCAUUUUCUCAUUUUUUUCAUUUUUUGAGGACACCAUUUUCUCAAUUGAAGAAUAUAUUUUGGCCAAAAUUCACAAUGUUCUCCACAUGAUUUAAAGCACACAGAAUUCACACUUGUCUCCACAUGAUUUAAAAGCACAAGGAAUUCUCUUGACCUUAAUUACGAAUCUUUUUAUGUUUAUUGAAAUCCAAUAUUGUUGACUCAUUGGUGUAGCCAGAAAAUCAUAUUAAUAUAGUAGAAUUUAUAAAUAACCAAAGAAAAAAGUUCACGCUCUUACUUUAUUACUUUUAUAAUUUUAUUAGUACAUCUACUAACAUGUCUUCAUAAAAUAUAGUUUUAAGAGGAUAUUUUUAUGGUUGUAGAUAUUUUUAUUUUUCUUCUUAAUAAUAGAUUUAAUUUUCAUCUUUCUAAUGUUAAGUUGCACAUUUGGACUAAAUCAGAUUAAAUUUCAAAUUAGAUGACAGGCCUUAUUUUAAUAGAUUCAAUUGGAUUUUGGACAUCUAAUUAAACAACUGGAUUAAUAAAUUGCAAAUGAAUGAGAUUUAUAUGUGAUUUUAAAAUAAAAUUUGAACUUAAAUCUAUGUAUUCAAUUAAUCCAACAAGACAAAUUUAUAAUUUCUACCACCUAAAUAAAAUAUGUUAUCAGAAACUUUUGGACCAAGUAGGGGCAGUUCAUCACUUCGUCGGCCUGCUACUACUUAUACUCCUUUCUCAUUCAACUUUCACAUCUUUUAUAUUAUAUACAAACUAGAUUUGUCAUGCAAGUAUUUGACAGAAGAAAUCUCAUUGGAAAUCGGACAACUUCAAGAAAUUCAUUUAUUGAAUUUGUCACAUAAUUGCUUGUCGGUUUAUAAACCAAAAAGGUAUUCCAAAUUAAAAGUGGUAGAGAGCCUAGACUUUUCUUACAACAGAUUAAGUGGUAGAAUUCCUCCUUAAUAGACUGAGCUCAAUUUUUUGAUCUGUCUUCAAGACGUCAUACAACAACUUGUCCAACCUGAUACCAAACAAAGAGCAGUUUGCCACAUUCAAUGAAGGCAGUUAUGGAGGAAAUCUGCAUCUUUGUGGUCCAACAGUUAAUAAGAGUUGCAACAAUGCGGAGGAAAUACCAGCAAUAGAAUCCAAUCGAGGAGAAGAUGAAGAUGAAUGUGCAAUUGAUAUGGUGUCAUUCAGUUGGAGUUUCGGUUCAUCAUAUGUCACAUUCAUCAUGGGGUUUUUCGCGAUACUUUGGAUAAACUCAUACUGGCGCAGAAUGUGGAUCUAUUACAAUCAUGUAUUCACUAGGCCAUACGCGUGAUGUGCUUUUCUGCUAAAACUAGUUCACAAAUGUGAUUUCAUUAAAAUUAGUCUAUACACAUCUUUCCCUUGGCUUUUGUUGGCUCCAACUCCGGACUUUUAUUCAUAUCAUUACUUUAUGUAGUUUCCCCAAAAGGCUUGUGAUGAUUAAUGCAGUUUAUAAAUUAUUACUACUACAAUAAUGAUAUAAUAAAUAAUUUUUUUUAAGUUGUAAAAGUGAGAAAUACUAAAGAGAUCUUUAUUACAUCAUUAAUGUUCGAUCAAGAAUUUCCUCAUCCGAGCUUGCAGUCUGUGGAGGAGACUGUAUCAAUGUCGAAAUUCUCCGGACCGGCACUAUUUGCUGUUUCUCCAUUGAAUAGUGCGUCUUACUACAACAAGGUGAAACACAGCCCAGUGUUCUGAUUGGGCCCAAUGCGAAAAACAUAAAACCCAAAUUUUUGUUGACUUUGGGCCUGCUCAAAUACCAUGCCCAAUUGUGUCUAGUUGUAACAAAAGCGGCGAGAUGUUCAUGCCCAAACCCGCAAGAUUGUUUUAAUAUUUAAAAUUUAACAUGAUUCUAGAAUUUUUGUUAAUAAAAAAUAAACCACCAAGAUUCUAGUGAAUAACAAAUGUAUACAUAUACACGUGCUGUGUAGACCGGGCCAAUUCUUGUGGAAUUCUCCAACAACCAUCCUGAUUCUUGAAUUGCCGCGAAAAUUCCGCAAGCGAUGAACCCUCUCUUACGCACCACUCAUUCUCUAUCACAAUGAUCAAAAUAAAGACGAGGACGGAGACUAUUAAUCACUGAGAGUGAUUUUCUCAAUAUUUGUCAAUCACUACUAAGAUUCAUUGUCAAUCAAUAAUAUCAAUUGACACAAAGAUUGAUUGUCUUUUUUUUUUUUUCGAGAAUAUCAGUGCUUGAAUACAUUAUUUGAUAUAUAUAAUUCAAUGUAAACUCAAUCAUACUCUUAAAUUAUUUUUAUAAAUUCUCAAUAUCAGUCUUUGAUUUUAAUUCGAGUUUUGAUUCAAAUUAAUGCAAGGAUACAAAAGGACUCAAGAGCUUCAUAUAUCAAUUCUAUGUUAUUAACUUAUUAUUUCGGUGUACACCACAAAUUUAUGAGUAAUUUAUUAAAAUGUCUAAACAUAUAUGAAAAAUAGUUGAUUAUUGAUUUUCACAAAUUUCAAUAUAUCAAACAUCCUAUCGAGUUAUUAAUUCCAAAGCACAUUAUUUAAGAAUCAAUGCUAGAAUAAAUUAUUUGAUAAUUUCAAACCCAAAUUUACGCUUAAAUUCUUUAAAUUAUCUCAAUCAACUUUUUUUUUUCUUAGCUGACCAUCUAUAUCAGCUAUUGGAAAAAAAAAUAGAAUUGACGACUACUUGUAUGUUGGCCUAAUUUGAAAGUCAAUCAACAUUUAUUUUCCAUGUAAUGUUAAUGAAGCAUUUCCCUCAUUGGUCCAACAUUGCAACAUGUGGAAUUUCAGGCUUACAAUUCCUCAUUAGUCAUUACAGAUACCGAAAUUGAUUGUCAGACAAUAUUGUCAUUUCAAUAUAUGCCACAAUUUUAUGAGUAAUUUACUAAAAUCUUUAAAUAUAUAAAAUUUGCAUGUGUGUAAUAAACCUGUAUUUAUAUAUAAAAUUUGCAUAUUUAAAUUGCACCUCUCCAUGCAUCAUAUAAAAUGUCAUUUCAAUGUGAUCCACACUUUUAUGAGUUAAUAACUAAAUAUUGUCACUAAAUUUUUCCUAAUUGUUGCAUGCAUUAGAUUUUUUUACGAAAAAAAAAACAUGCUACAUUAAGUGUAAAACAAUUGAGGAAAAGAUUAGAGAACACAAUGAGAAAAGAAAUUUUUUAUACAACCUUUUCAUCAAUAAAAAUCAUAUUCAUACUAAUCAAUUCUUCAUUCCUCUUGGUAUUAACAGACUCUCACAUCCUACAAAAUCUAACCCUUAUCAUCCAACUAUCUUUAUCAUUAUUUAACUCAUGAAGAAAAGAGUACUCCAUGAAGCACACAAUACUAAAAAUUCAAAUAAGUCAAAAAUAAAAAUGCAAGAAUAUUUCUAAGGAGGAUGUUGGUUAAAUAAUAAAAAACCCAAACAUAACAAAUCUUAAAUACUUAAUGUUUAUAGACUUUGAAGAAGUCAAAAGACAUUAAACAAAAUGUUGCAUAAUUAAAUAUGGAAUUAUGACAUUAAAAUUAGGCCCUAAUGGCAUUGGUGAGUGAAGAUGAAGGAACCUUCCUUCCUAUAUUAAUUAGUUGAUGUAUUUUAAGUCACUAAAGUUUAGUUGUUGGCUUAAUAAAAUAAAUGAAUGUUUCAAGACUUAUAAUUAAUUAUUAUUAAUGGUUGCAUAUUAUUGAAUUUAAAUAGAAAGAGGAAGAGACAUGUAAUUUUUUGUAAUCUAAUAAUUAUUUUCUAUUUUGUAAUGUAAUUAUUUUUUAAUCUCAACCAAUAUAUUAGAUAAUAGAGAAUAUAAAAAGAUAAGAAAUAAUGAUGUCACAAAUCUUAAAUACUUAAUGUUUACAGAGUUUGAAGAAGCGAAAAUGCACUAAACAUAAGGUUGCAUAAUUAAAUAUAGGAUUAUGGUAUUAAAAUUAGGCUCUAAUGGCAUUGUUGAGGGAAGAUGAAAGAAACUUUCUUCCUAUAUUAAUUAAUUGAUGUAUUUUAAGCCACUAAAGUUUAAUUGUUGGCAUAAUAAAAUAAAUGAAUGUUUUAAGACUUAUAAUUAAUUAUUAUUAAUGGUUACAUAUUAUUGAAUUUAAAUAGAAAGAGGAAGAGACAUGUAAUCUUUUGUAAUCUAAUAUUUAUUUUCUAUUUUUAAUAUUUUGUAAUGUAAUUAUUUUUUAAUCUCAACCAAUAUAUUAGAUAAUAGAGAAUAUAAGAAUAUGAGAAAUAAUGAUGUCACAUCACCUCUUGUAGUCCCAACUCUCUCUCUCUCUCUCUCUCUCUCUCUCUCUCUCUCUCUCUAUAUAUAUAUAUAUAUAUAUAUAUAUAUAUAUAUACAUACAUAUUAUUUUCUAAAAAGUAUUUCUAAUUGUUUAACGUUUUAUUUAUGAGUAUUUUUAAGAGUUUAAAAAAUAUGGGAAACAGAAUCAAUUUUAUCAAAUAAAAAGAAUAUUGGUCAUUUUCUUCAUAAAGAAAGUGUUAAAAUACUUUUGGUAUUUAAGAAGUAACAAUUUUUUUUUUUGUUUCAUAAAAAAAGCAUUCAAAAUUAUAUUAAAUAAAAUUAAAGAUUAACAAAACUGACGUCUGAAUUUCGUGUAAAUUAUAAUAAGUUUAUCUCCAGCAUGAAUGACAUUAUAGCGUGGCUAGCAUCAUCAAAAUUCUGGUAACAUUCCAAGGUUGUCAAACUAAUCAUCUCAAAAUGUCAUUAUACUUGUAGCGUGCGGGCAUCAUCUUUACUUUCAGCAUCAAAAUUCUUUUAUUUAAUACACUUUUAUUUUAUACAAUUUUUAUCAUAUUAAAAUCCUUUGUAAUUUAAGCUCUCUCGGACUUUUAAAAAUGUUAUGCCACCCCUUCUUUAGCAGUAAUAGUAUAUGAUUAUGAUUUAAUUAUUUUAUUUUUUAAUUUAUCAAACACCAAUCACUUAAAUUUAACCUAAGAAAAAAUUAGAACAUCAGAUAAUUUUAAUUGAUUCUUAUUAAGUACUAGAAUUAACUGCUCCCAAUGAUAAUUUAUUAAGCAAACCAUAGUGAUCAUCUUACACUAAAGAACCAACCCAUCUUCAAAACACAAGAAUUUAGUACAAAUAAUUAUCCCAAUAAAGUUUAACGAAAAAGGAAAGAGAUAUUUUUAUUAUUUCUUUUCCUUUCUUUCAUUUCAAUUUCUUGCCUCCUGAGCUCUUCUAAAAGCCAACCAAACCACUUAUUUAAAAAAAAAAAAAAGGAACCAGACAAAGCGCAAGAAAAAAAAUUAAAAAAUUCGCAGUCUACACACAUCCCAGCACCGUAUGCGUCCAAUAAUUCAUCUCCAAUAAUUGCCCCUAUAUGACCACCGGUUUGUACUUGCAUAUAUGUGAAACAGGAUAAAAUCACAAUGUGUCAUUUAAUUAGCAGAGGUAACAAGAUCCUACAGAAAAGGGUUUACAGGAAAAGAAAGGAAAAAAAAUUGUUACAACAUACAGAAACCCAAAUAUUCUACUGGCUAACCCCCAUUAAAAUUCGAAACCAUUCUUAAAUCUCAGCUUAUACUACUUCAUCAUUCCUUCUGUGUACCCCCAACUGAAUUUCUGGCAGAAAUCACAUUUCUUCGUUAGCCUCAACUCAUGCAUCUUUUACUUUUAAUCAAACAUACUUUUUUAUCUGCUGGGCUUUUUAACAAAGAAUAAUUUUCCUUAGAUCUUUUCUAAUAGACAAGAAAGCACAAAGCACAAAUAUCUAGGAAUGUUUUUGCCCUUCAUCAUAGCACUUGCAAAGGCUCCAGGGUAUAGAAGAACCUUGGCUACAAAUUCCUGGGAAGACUUCACUUAUAAUCAACUGGAAGGAUGUCACCUCUACGGGCGUUGUACAUUUUCCACUUCUACGUGGUAUCCUGCAGAAACAAACAAUAAAACACGUGUUAUACAAGUAUUUUUUAAGUAUGAAAUACAUCAAAAGCAUUUAUGAUGCCAUUAAGUUUAGUCAAUACAAUCUCUCAAGGCAGGACAAGAGAUUUGAGAUUCAAACUCCACCUACGUAGGAAAGGAAUGUCAAAAAGAAAUGCGGUUGGGAUAGGUUAUUACGUUUUAUUCUUUUUAUUACUAGAAUUGAAUAAUGCUGCCUUUGACAGUAAAAUAAACGUCAAGUGAUAAUUGAAUUAUAAAAAAGUGAGGUAAAUGGUGAGAAAUAAUCACCAUUAUAAUUUAUAAUAUAAAAUGAGGAAAUAAUUAUGGAAGAAAUGGAAAGAAUUACCUGAAAAGAGGGAUUUGGAAGACAAUGAGACAAAAAUAUAAGGAAGAAGAAAUCGAAGAUAUAAUGCCUGCCCAUUUCUUUGACGAACCUGUAAAAUGUCGUGAUUGAGGGAAUUAAACCGUAUGACGUUUAUGAAAUACUAACUAGGCAACCCAAGAGGGGGGUGAAUUGGGAUUUUAAAAAUUAUCCUAGGCAAACCACACAACAAUUUAAUCUAAUGCCUUAAUAAAUUCGAAAACAAUAAAUUCAAUAAAAGCACAAUAAUAAAUGAGUAAGGGAAGAGAAAGCAAACCCAAGGAUUUUUACGUGGUUCGGCAAUCCCCGCCUACGUCCACGCCUCCAAGCACACCGGGCUUGAGGAUUUUACUAAGCUAGCCUCCCAAGGCUUCAAACGCUUACAAUUGACUUCCAAGGUGUCAAUGGACCUUUACAACAAGAGAUUAUCCCCAAUCUCUUAACCCAAGUGUAUCCCAACACUUACAAUCUUUUAACUUGAUUUUACAAAAAAGAUUACAAAUGAAUCUCUCUCACACAAUGUGUUUGAUCACAAGUGAAAGCUCAAUGUGUGAAUGAAUGAGAUGAAUACAAAGAUUUAAAGCUCAAUGAAAGUUGUAUUCUCAAUAUUUUGCUCAAUGAUGAUCGUUGGAAUUCUUCUUGUUUGAAUUGGAUUGAGAUUAUUUAUAGUUGGAGCUGAAAAACUAGCCGUUAUAGACUGUCUGCUAGAAAACGGUUCGCCGUUAACCAUUAACGGUUAACCGUUUAGGCCGGUCAAAGUUACCGUUGGGCCAAUUUUCAAAUAAACGGUUAGCCGUUUAUUCUUACCCUUUCGCCGUUAAUUUCCAGAGACCUGCAAAACAAAUUUGGUUUAACCGUUCUUAUUAAACGGUUCAAGGUUAACAAUCUGGAAAUAAUCGGUUAACCGUUUUCAGUAAACGGUUCACCGUUAGUUUCCAGAAUCAUCAUUUUAAUAAUACUUUACAGAACAUGCUUUCUGGAAAUUAUCGGUUAGCCGUUUUAAAUAAACGGUUAGCCGUUUGCUACAGUGAUUGCUACAGUGAAAAUAUUUUCUAAAUUUAUAAUUUAACCCCAAAACUUUAUAAAACUUUAUUACGGCCCAAAACGUUAUGAAACUUUGCACAUAGGUCCAAUUUCAGAAUUUCUAAAUAAUACUUUGUUAAUCCCAAAACUUUUUGAAAUUAUGGUAUAGCCCAAAAUGUUAUGAUACUUUUCAAAUAAGUCCUUUACCAAGAUUUCAAGCAAUACUUGUUUAUUUCAAAGUUUUCAAAAUUCUUUCAAUUAAACCAUAAACUUUGAAAAACAACCAAUUUCAUAAAAUCAUUUUUCCAUUAAAUAUGAAACAUUUAUAAUGUGAAAAUAAUGAUUUAUUUAAAAAGAAUAAAAACAAUCAAUUUCAUAAAAUUAUUUUUCCAUUAAAUAUAAAACAUUUAUAAUGUGAAAAUAAUGAUUUAUUUAAAAAGAAUAUUAAAUAAUUUGAGCUUAAAAGAUUAAUCAUUCUUAAUCUUAUUUGUUAUCAUCAAAAUCAAUAUUAUGAAAAUAUAUAUGUUAACAGUUUACUUUGGCGGCCCCCAGUCUUGUCAAUCAGAGAAUAUGUUUUGGCCGAAAUUCACAAUUCUUACCACGUGAUUUAAUUAAAGCACACAGAAUUCGUAAUUUUCUCCAGACAAUUUAAAUUAAACCCGCACUCUUUAUGGACUCCACUUUUAAGAAGGAUAUUGCCCACCGAGCAAACUAACCAAAACUCUUUUCCCUUCUGCGUUCAUUCUCCAACUCGUUGUCACUUUGUUUUGCUCUUCCUCUCUAUAUGAUUUUUAAGAACUAUUAAAUGUUUGUUUGUUUCUUAAAAAAAAUGUUUGUUUUUUUUUGUAUUAGAUGAUUAUAAAUAUUUAUUUAAUUUUAUAUUUUUUUAAAUUUUUUAUUAUUGUUUCAUUAUUUUUUAGUAAAUUUUUAAAAAUUAAAUAAAUUAUUUUUAUUUCUGUUAAUAAAAAUUUAAACUUUAAAUUUUUGAGGGAUGAGAUUUAUUUUUUUUAAAUAUUAAAAUACUUAAAAUAUCUUUUAUUUAUGUAAUAAUUUUAUUUUAUUUUUUUGUUAAAUAAUUUUAAAAAAAAUUAUUUAUUAAAAUAAUUUUAUAAUUUUUAAUAAAAACUCUUAUUAUCAAUUAAAUAACUAAAAUUAUUUUCAUAAAAACUUUUAUAAUAAAAAUCCUACCACACCGCAGAGUCUGCACUUACCUGCGCGUACUGUUUAAAACCCCUCACCGGCUCUGCUCUCGCCACCAAUAUUAAGAAAGAUACUUUGUUGUGGUGGCAUUUUGGUAAAAAAUAUGGGCCCCCAAAAUAAUCAUAAUAAUUAAGGAUUUAGCUAUGUGGCAACGGGUACACCAUACACUUUUUUUUUUUUUUUUUUUGUGCUGCCACAGUUAGAUCCAACACAAAAGUAGUAUUAAGAGCAAGAUGUGUUUGUUUGUUUAUUAACAAUGCAAUCCCUAAUAUUUGUCAAAAAUUUUAAAAAGUUAAAGUUUAUAAAAUUUUGUGCCAAUAUUUUUUUCCCAAAUUCUCUUAGCACAAUUAAUUGUGUUAUGGUAUCCACUUUUGCAGGUUAUAAUCAAGAGAUCAGACAUGAUAGAUACAUAAAAAAUAAUAUAAAAUAAAAAAAUUUUGAAUUUUUGUUAAAGCUCUCAUUUCUAAUAAUUUGUUAAAAUAUUCUUUUACCUAAGAAAACAAACUCAUUGACAUAAUAAAAAGAGUUUUACUGAUAAAAUAAUAAUUAUUCAAUUAUUAGAAGUGCUACAGUUAGAUUUUUUUAAGUUGAAAAUGUAGAGAAGCAUGGAGGAGAAGAGGAGAAGAAGACACAUAAUAAAACAUAAAAAUUUUCAAUUUAUUUAUACCUGAAUUCCAUUGUAUGAUGAAUAGAUUGUAGGUACAAAAAUAUAUUUAUGUGAUUUUCUUUUAUAUAAAAAGUUCAAUUCAUUAUUGCUUAUAUGAUAUAGAGCAAAUUAAUCUUAAGGUAAUGAGAAAGUAGCUUCAAUGAGAAUGCCAAGCUUCUCUUAUUGAUUGUAAUUGAUUGAUUACAUAUUUAAUUAAAAAAAUUCAAAAGGACGUAGAGGUGAGGGUUUUGAAGAAAGAGAAAAAAGAAAUUACUUCAAUAAUUUGUAAAUACAGAAGAGAUUAGGGGGUCAAAAAAUACAAAAAGUAGGGUAUGGUGGACCCAUUGUACCGUAGCUCAACUCAAGCCAAUAAAUUAAUUGUUUUAUCCUAUAAAUAAAAAUUAAUGUUGUGUAUUUGCCUAUAACUUGAGGAGGUAAUAAAAGUCUUUCGUUAUACUCUACUGUUAGUUUCUCGCCUUUUAUUCCUCUGAAAUCUUUCAACAAAAAUGGGUGGCGUCAUCUCAACCUUCUUAUCAGCGGACACAAUUCGUCCAAUUUUAUCUUACGUUGGUGGAGAAGCUAAGUAUAUAUGGGGUCUAAAAGAUAAUCUUGAUGACUUGCAGACUCAGAAGGAGAAGUUGAUUGAGAAAAAAGAAGAUAUGCUGAAUGAGGUUGAGCUUGCUGAACAACGACCCCGAACCAGACGGACGAGAUCGGUGCAACGCUGGUUUGAAAGAGUGGAUCGAAGGGUAACUGAAGUUGAGAGGCUGCAACAAGAAAGAGAUCAAGAGAUUGACAGAUUGUGCCUUGGAGGCUUCUGUUCCAAGAACUUGAUCUCAAGCUACAGCUUCGGGAAAAGAGUGGAGAAGAUGAAGAACGAAGUGAUCGAAUUGAAGAAAGGAGGAGAAGCAAUCAAUCCACUUUAUGAGGAGGUACCAGAAGGUGCAGCGGUUGCAAUAGCUGUUGACCGAACAAUUGUCGGUCAAGAAUCAAUACUAGACCGAGUUUGGAGAUGCAUCACCGAUCAAGAACAGAAUAAGGGAAUUAUUGGCUUAUAUGGUAUGGGGGGCGUCGGCAAAACUACUCUGUUAAAGCAAGUCAAUAACAAAUUCUGCAGUGAUGAACAGCAUCAUUUUGGUGUCGUUAUCUGGUCGGUUGUGUCGAGAGAGCCAAACUUGAAGCAGAUUCAAGUGGAUAUUGGAAAAAGGAUAGGCUUCUCAACAGAUUCAUGGCAGAGAAAAAGUUUUGAAGAAAGGGCUUCAGACAUCACCAACGCUUUAAAGCAUAAGAAGUUUGUAUUGUUAUUGGAUGAUAUAUGGGAGUCCAAAAUUGAUUUAACCGAAUUGGGCGUCCCUCUUCAAAGAUUAGAUUCUGGGUCCAGAAUAGUUUUCACAACUCGUUUUCGUGGUACUUGUGGUGAAAUGGGAGCUGACGAGCGGUUCGAAGUGUCCUGUUUGGGAGAUGACGAUGCCUGGAAAUUUUUUGAGGGGGUGGUUGGGAGAUACGUUCUCGACAAGCAUCCCGACAUUCCGGAGCUAGCCAAAGCUAUGGCAAGGCAGUGUCAUGGUUUGCCGCUAGCACUCAAAACAGUAGGUAAUGCCAUGGCGAGCAAAGAGUACCCUCAAGAAUGGAGUCACGCCAUUGAGAUCAUAAGCAGAUCAGCUUCUAAAUUCAAAGAUAUGGAAAAACAGGUGCUUUCGCGUUUGAAGUUCAGCUAUGAUAGUUUGCCCACUGACGAACUUCGUUCUUGUCUCUUGUACUGUUGUUUAUUUCCGGAAGACUCUGAAAUUCCAAAAACCGACUUGAUGGAGUAUUGGAAAAGUGAAGGAUUUGUGGAUUCUAGCAGCGGGUGGGGGGUUCUUGGUGCUCUCCUUCGUGCAUGCUUAUUGGAGGAAGCAGGCUUAGUGGACGAAGGAGGUAAUCGUGUAAAAAUGCACGAUAUGAUUCGUGACAUGGCAUUAUGGAUAGCAAAUGAAAUAGAGGAGGAGGAGGAGAACUUCUUGAUUCGUGCAGGAGUUGGAUUAACUGACGCCCCAAAGAUUGAAGAAUGGGAAGGGGUCAAAAGGAUAUCCUUGAUGGAGAACAAAAUUCAAAGUCUACCACAAAUUCCCACUUGUCCGCGUCUCCAGACUUUGCUUCUAAAUCGAAAUCAUAUUGCGAAGAUCACUGACAGUUUCUUUCAAUCUUUGCCUUCGCUUAGAGUUUUGAAUCUAAGUGGAAAUCAUUACCUAACUGAACUACCUGUAGGAAUUUCAAGUUUGGUUUCAUUACACCAUCUUGAUCUGUCUUAUACUCCCCUAACUGAACUUCCUGUAGGGAUUUCAAGUUUGGUUUCAUUACACCAUCUUGAUCUGUCUUCUACUGAAGUACGUGGGUUGCCGCAAGAGCUCAAGGCAUUGGUGAAUCUGAGAUAUUUGAACUUGGAGUAUACACGUAAAAUGUCUAGAAUUCCAGAGCAAUUGAUAUCAAGCUUUCCAAAGUUACAGGUGCUCAGGAUGCUGAGUUGCGGUUCUGAGAUAUUUCCAAUAGUGGAAGAAGGCAACGUUCUAUCCGAUGGUGCUGAACCAUUGAUUAAGGAAAUCCACUGUUUGGAACAAUUAAAUCUCAUCACCUUGUCCUUACGUGGUACGCGUGGUGUUGAAAACUUUUUGAAAUUCCCAAAGCUGCAGAAUAUCACUCAAGCUCUGUCCAUCGAACACUGCAACAGUCUACCGCUCAAUUUGUUGCAUCUAUCAAACAUGGAGCAUCUUGAGAAGCUACACAUCGAGGAAAGUAAUUUGGAAGACUGGAAUGUCGACUGCGCAGGCGAGGUACAAAAAAUGCGUAAACUUCACUUUGUUACAAUAUACGAAUGCUCAAAUGUGAAGGACUUUACGUGGCUUGUUUUUGUUCCAAAUCUCAAGUGGCUACGAAUAUGUUAUUGUGAUGACAUGGAAGAAAUAAUCAGUGUUGAAAAAUUGAGUGAAGUUUCGGAGAUGAUGGGAGAGCUUAACUUGUUCUCAGAACUCGAACUUCUGGUAAUAAGAAAUGCAAGUAAUUUGGAGCGCAUCUACCGCGUUCCCUUGCCCUUUCCACAGCUGAAGGUAAUUGACAUAUCGGAAUGCCCAAAGUUGAAGAAGCUCCCGCUCAAUUCCAGCAGCGCAAAGGGACGUAAAAUUGUCAUUUACGGGGAGAAAGAAUGGUGGGAAGAGCUACAAUGGGAGGAUCAAGCCACUCAAAAUGCUUUCUCUCCCUGUUUCCUACCUGAUGAAUAAUAAAGUGCAAUAAGGCGCAAAAGUGUGAAUAAAAUUUCUGCGUGUGCUUAAUGUUAGGCACUAUUAUUCAGGCUUAAAUAAUAACAAUAAAAUACUACACCGUGUCUGCUUUCUUUUACUUUUCUUGGUUCUGUUGUAAAAUUCAGUUCUAUUUGAAGGAAAUUAUUAACAUCAAAACUAAAUACUUCGUGAGCAUCUACUGACAACAUACUCCAGAUGACACCAUAACCAUAUCAUAUAAAGCAAGAAAUGUGAAAUAAAUACAAAAUGAAUCACAGGAGGAAAUCACCACACUCUGCGGUCUCUCCUGCUAAACCCUGCAGUUAGAAUGCCAUUUGUCGUGAGCACCUGAAUCCCCAAAGGACUCCCAGCUUCAAGUGGCUUUGACUUAGCUUGCUUUAGCUCCAUUGCACAUACUCACUCACAUGGAGGAAAUGAACAGAACAAGAAACCUCAUCAAGCCGAAUAUGAUAGAUAUGACAAGGCAUUACACUGUAGGAAGCUCCCGAUUUCUCUAAAAAACUUUGCAGGUUCUCCGCAAUCAAGGCGUGCUCCAUCUUUAACAGAUCACUUCUACCAUUAAGAGAAGGGAGAGAGUUCCUCUCGUGUGACAGUAAAUCCUUACUUAACACAGGAUUGGAGCCAACCAAGAAGGGAAGGCAAUUUCGUUAGAUUAAGAACCGAAUCACCAUCCAAAAUAGUAGCAUUUGAACCAGAACUCUUGUUAAAUUCUUGAAAUCUCCUGCUUUCAUCAGUCUGUAAGAGAAAUGAAGAUGAGAAUAAUAGCCAGAACCGGAUUAAAUUCAAUCUGGUCUUUUGAAGACUUCUAUAACAACUAAGAGAACCCAGUGUACCGCCUACAGAUACUGUCAGGCUUCUAUCAAAUAUCCCAAACACCAAAAACAAACCAAAUUAAGCUAACAAACCUGCAUGAAUAUCUAAAUUUCAAUGCACAUGAAACAAACUCCGUCUUCAAUCCACCAAAACUAGCAAAUUUCAAACUUUAUCCCUCAUCACUCUCUCUCUGUCAGCUGUAUGAGGCUACGAGAUCAUGUUAUAAUGUUCAUAUUGAUGCUGAAUGUUUUGCCAGCUUGUCUGAAUUCCAUAAGAGAAUGCAAUUUGCACAUUAUUGUGCCUUGCCCACCAUUAGAUUCUAAACCACAAAAUCAUUGUGUGAGUAGCUGACGUUUCGCACAUUCUUAUCCCUUAUCAUCAAUAUUCUUCUCCUCAAGCUUAGAUCAUGGAAAUUUGAGUGACAAACAUGAUAACAUGGUAACACCAUCUAAACUUUAGGGGCAUAAAGUAACAUAGAAGCAACAUGGGAUGUUUUAAAAUCUAUUAUAAUUUGCUUAGGCCCCUGAAUAAAAUUAAAACUUGAAAUGAAAUAAAGUAGCAAAAUAAAGAUUGGAGGUCGCAUGCUUGAUAUUUGAUGCUGUCAAAAUUAAUUUGCAGUGCUGAAAUUGCUGCUCCAAUAAAUUUUUCAAUGGGAUUUCUAUAUUUACAACAAAUUUUCAGUAUUGAAACAGGAUUAAAAUCAUAAAGUGUCUUUUAAACAGCAGAGGCAACAAGAUCCUACAGAAAAAGAAGGCAAAAAGUAGUUACAAGCUACAGAAACGCAAAUAUUCUACUGGCCCACUCCCACUAAAUUCGAAGCGAUUCUAAAAUCUCAGCUUGUACUACUACAUCAUUCCUUCUAUGUGGCCCAACUGUACUUCACCCAGAAAUCACAUUUCUUCAUCAGAGAUAAUUUUACUUCUAAUCAGAGAUUAUUUUUUAUAUGCAUGGCUUUACAGUAAUGAAUAAUUUUCCUUAAAUCUUUUCUAACAGACAAGAAAGCACAAAGCACAAAAAUUCAUAUAAACAACUUUUCUCGAAGCUUUUUCAUAAGAAAACCUGAACAUGAUUGCUUCUCUUAGAAGGCCCCCUAGCUUCCUGCAAGAACCUGGUGUUCCAAAAAAAAAUGAUUAUAAUUAGGCAUAAGGUCCUAAUGUUCUUGCAGGAAUUAUGAUGAAUAUCAGGGUUUCAAAAAAAAAAAAAUUAAGACAACGAUUACGGAUUUAAAGCACACAGAAUUUACACUUUUCUCCAUGUGAUUUAAAAGCACACAGAAUUCUCCUGACCUUAAUUGAAAUCCAAUAUUGUAGACUCAUUGUUGUAGCUAGAAAAUCAUAUUAAUAGAGUAAAAUUUAUAAAUAAUCAAAGAAAAGAGUUCACGCUCUUACUUCAUUACUUUUAUAAUCUUAUUAGUAUAUCAACUUACAUGUCUUCAGAAAAUACAGUUUUAAGGGGAUAUUUUUAUGGUUGUAGAUAUUUUUAUUUUUCUUCUUAAUAAUAGAUUUAAUUUUCAUAUUUCUAAUGUUAAGUUGCAGAUUUGGACUAAAUCAGAUUAAAUUUCAAAUUAGAUCACCGACCUUAUUUUAAUAGGUUCAAUUGGAUUUUGGACAUCUAAUUAAACAACUGGAAUAAUAAAUUGCAAAUGAAUGAGAUUUAUAUGUGAUUUUAAAAUAAAAUUUGAACUCAAAUCUAUGUAUUCAAUUAAUCCAACAGGACAAAUUUAUAAUUUCCACCAACUAAAUAAAAUAUGUUAUCAGAAACUUUUGGAUCAAGUCGGGGCAGUGUAUUACUUCGUGGGUCUGCUACUACUUAUAGUCCAUUCUCAUUUCAACUUUCACAUCUUUUAUAUUAUGUACAAAUUGGAUUAUAUUCUAAAAAAGUGUUUCUAAUUGUUUAACGUUUUAUUUCUGGGUAUAUUUAGAGAUUAAAAAAUAUGGGAAACAUAAUCAAUUUUAUCAAAUAAAAAGGAGUAUUGUUCAUUUUUUCAUAAACAAUGUGUUAAAAUACUUUUGGUUUUUAAGAAGUAACAAUUUUUAUUUUCAUAAAAUAGCAUUCAAAAUUAUAUUAAAUAAAAUUAAAGAUUAACAAAACUGACAUCUGAAUUUCGUGUAAAUUAUAAUAAGUUUGUCUCCAGCAUGAGUAACAUUAAAGCUUGGCUAGCAUCAUCAUAUUUUAUCUCCAGCAUCAAAAUUCUGAUAACAUCAACAUCAUAAUUCCAAGGUUGUCAAACUAAUCAUCUCAAAAUGUCAUUAUACUUAUAGCGUGCUGGCAUUAUCUUUACUUUCUGCAUCAAAAUUCUUUUAUUUAAUACACUUUUAUUUCAUACAAUUUUUUAUCAAAUUAAGAUCCUUUGUGAUCUAAACUCUCUUGAACUUUUAAAAAUCUUAUGCCACCUCUUCUUUAGUAAUAGUAAUAGUAAUAAUAUGAUUAUGAUUUAAUUAUUUUAUUUUUUAAUUUAUCAAACACCAAUCACUUAAAUUUAACUCAAGAAAAAAUUAGAACAUCAAAGAAUUUUAAUUGCUUCUUAUUAAGUACUAGAAUUAACUUCUCCCAAUGAUAAUUUAUUAAGCAGACCAUAAUGAUCAUCUUACGCUAAAGAACCAACCCAUCUUCAAAACACAAGAAUUUAGUACAAAUAAUUAUCCCAAUAAAGUUUAACGAAAAAGCAAAGAGAUAUUUUUAUUAUUUCUUUUACUUUCCUAGUGGCUCUGCUACUACCUAUAGGCUAUAGUCCAUUCUUAUUCAACAUUCAGAUCUUUUAUAUUAUAUGCAAAUUAAAAUAUAUUCUAAAAAGUGUAUCCAACUGGUUAACAUAUUAUUUCUAGAUAAUAAUCAAUUUUAUCAAAUAAAAAAGAGUUUUUGGUCAUUCAUUUGGCUCCGUUGCCACUUGUACGUUACAAAAGCUUUUGUCUAUGCUGACUCAGUUACUGUAAAAUGUCGUUCAGCCCCUUAUACUCUAUGUUAUUUAUAAUUUAUUUAUAAGAAUUAUGAAAAUUUCUACUUACCUACACUAUCAAAAUUCAAUUUAUCUCCUCACAAUCUUUUUCAUUUACUAUUUUUUUCUAAGUAUUAAAAGAGUUCUAUUUACAACCACGACAUAUUAAUCAUCAUAACACACAAAUAUUAAUAAAAAGAUAAAAAUAUCCUUAAAUUAAUACUAAAAAUGCUUUCCUCUCUUCUUUAUAAUAUCAUAUUAUAAUAAUUAAUACUUUCAUGAUAAAAGAAUUAAAAAAAUAAAAAUAAAUUCCCUUUGAAUCCAUCCCUCUCUAAUAUCAUUUUCUCUUCAUUAGGAACAUUUAUCGACAAUUGAAGCCACCAUCAGACUCAUCACACAGAGAGAGUGAGAGAGGGGAAGAAGAAACAGAGAAAAAAUAUAUGAGACAUUUACAAUUUUAUAGUGUGUUUAUUCAACGGGAUUUAUAUAUAGUUGCUAAGGGGUUUCAUCAGACACAAGGAGUUGAUUACACUGAAACUUUUAGUCUAGUAGUUAAGGCUUCAACAGUCAAAGUUAUUCUUAGCCUAACAGUACUUAACAAGUGAAUAAGCAGACAAGUGGAUGUUAAUAAUGUCUUCCCCUAGCAGUACUUAACAAAUGAAUAAUCAGACAAGUGGAUGUUAACAAUGCCUUCCUUAAUGGCAUUUCAGUUGAAGAAGUUUACAUGGCACAACCUGAGGGGUUUGUGGAUCCUACUAAACCCCAACACAUCUGCAAAUUAAAAAGGACUAUAUAUGGCUUGAAGCAAGCUCCCAGGCUUGGUUUGACAAAUUCAAAGCUGCAAUGAUUACUCAAUGGCAUUUUCAACACUCAAAAUCAGAUAAGUCUCUCUUCUAUAAAUGGAUCAAUGGUCAUGUAAUUCUAGUUCUGGUUUAUGUUGAUGAUAUCAUACUCACUGGUUCAAAUUCUUACUUAAUUCAGCCAGUCAUUCAAGACAUGCAUCACACCUUUGCUUUAAAAGACUUGGGAGCUCUUAACUAUUCUCUAAGAAUUGAAGUGGUUAAAUUAGCAAAUGGCAUUUAUCUGUCUCAAGCAAAAUAUAUUGCUAAUAUAUUGGCAAACAUGAUAUGGUUCACUGCAGUCCAUUACAUAUUCCUAUGUCUACCAGUCACUACCUCACAAAAGAUUCAAGUGACAUUAUUGCAAAUGUGUCUCAGUACAGAAGUAUCUUAGGUGCAUUGCAAUAUGUUACUCUUACAAGGCUUGACAUAACAUAUAUAGUUAAUAAACUAAGUUAGUUUUUAUUUAGUCCUCGAACACAACAUUGGGAGGCUCGCAAAAGGUUGCUAAGGUACUUAAAAAGAAUUUUACAUCUUCGAUUGCAUUAUUACACAAAUGGAGCUAUGCAGAUACAUUAUUUCAUAGAUUCUAAUUGGGCAUGUGAUAGGGAUGACAGGAAAUCACUUGCUAGUUUUGCAGUCUAUCUAGGUCCCAAUUUAGUCUCAUGGUCAUCCAAGAAACAAGCAGUGGUAUCAAGGUCAAGUAUAGAAGCAGAAUAUAGAGCAUUAGCUCAUGCUACUUCAGAGGUCAUGUGGAUACAAUCUCUUCUUAGUGAGUUGCAAAUUAAACUUAGCACCACUCCCAUAAUAUGGUGUGAUAAUCAAGAAGCUAUUGCCUUAGCAUACAAUCCAUUUUAUUAUGCCAAAACCAAACAUGUUGAGCUAGAUAUACACUUCAUUCGAGACAAAGUUGUAGCUAAGAGCAUUGAGGUUAGUUAUGUGCCCAGUGAAGGUCAACCAACUGAUGUAUUAACCAAAGCUCUCACUUUUAAGCAGUUUCAUUGCUUGUGAAGCAAGCUGAAUGUCUAUCCUGGACAUUUUAGCUUGAGGAGGGAUGUUAGUGAUAUUGAAUUUCAAGCAAAGCAGAGCACAAAAUCAUUAUAUGACUGACCACAACUGAUUCACUCAUUAAGCUAACUUGGCAAGUUAGUUAUACAGCUCACCUCACAUGUAUCAAAUUUCGCGUGUGUAUAACAGAUUGUAUGAAUCAUUUAGCUUGCUAUAUAAAUAUGUAAUGUGUACUCAGUUUUCAAUUAGUUAAUUACAAAGGAAUCUUAUAUUUGCUUCUAUACAAAUUCUCUUUACUUUUCUUUCAUUUUCUUGCCAAACAACACUUUCUUUAGAAUUCUUUCAUGAAAGGCAAUGAGACAAAAAUGUAAAGAAGAAGAAAUUGAAGAUAGGGUAGGGCUAUUGGCUCUCUAAAAUUUAUUUUGGACAUUGAUGUGAUCUUUAAAAAAAAAUUACAUAAUUUUAUUCUUAGGUUAUGUUUAUCUCUUUGAGUUGUUAUCAUAGUUCAUUUUGAUUAAAUAAAAGUAGUUGUUGUAUUAACAUAAUUCUAAUGAACAUAGGUUUUAUUGUGCUUUUAAUCUUUAGGUCCAACUUCUGUAAGAUAGUAUUUAAACCAGCAUCAAUGUCAAUAAUAGCAGGCUGAAAUGUUUCUUUUGGAGACUGAAUAGUUGUAUUGGGAGAUAUGUCCCUCAAAGUACCAAAAACAUAUUUAUUAAAGCUUAGUUUCCUUGAAUUUGCCCAUUUAUCACUUGUUCUUUUUAUUUUGUUUGAUUUCCUGUUGUAAUAAUUUGUGUCUGUAAGACUAUAACAGACACUCACAUUUUAAUAGUUCUUUAUAUCACUAAAUUAACCUUAAUGUAAAAUUAACCGUAAUGUAAUUUACUAUUAAGGACAAUUUAAUAAAAUAUAGUUCAAUAAAUUUUUAUCCAACAUCUUAUUUUAUCUACAAUAAACUAGAUAAACAAUGAAGAAAUGAAUAAAAGUUCACGUGAAAACGAUGUCUAUACUUAUGGGCUAAACCUUUUUUUUUCAGUUUUUUUGUUAAUAGAAUUGUUAGGAAAACAUCAUGUAACACGUUCCAUCUUUUGUAACAAAAGGAAUUAAAAACAGAGGUGGAGGAAGAACAAUAAAUUGCACCACUACAACAUAUGAAAAACGAAAGAAAUCAAAGGAUAAAAUCUGUUUCAAAUUUGUUUUCUGAUCUUCACUCAAUCUAAUCUGCAUGCUUUCAUGGAUUUGAAAAACAAAAUUGAAUUGCGACAUUAAAGAGAAGAACAAACAUAUGUCAAACCAUAUUAUGAAAGCAAAAUAAAAGUUGAUAAAAAAUGAAAAAAAGUUCAAACAUUUUGUUUGUGAUGAUGAAUAUUUUAUUAGAUGUAAAGAGGAAAUAAGAUAAUUAAAGAAAUGGGUAAUGAGAACAAUAAAGGAAGUCGAAAAAUAUUUCAAAUACAAAUUAAUAUUUUGAAAUUAUUAAUUGAGUGUUCAAAAUAAAUUUUAGAAUGUAAGAAGUGCAUCGCUGCCCAUUUCUUUGAUGAACCCAGUAGAAACAGCUUUAAAAUUAUAGAAACUGUAAAACGCUGUAAAAGUGAAAACUUUAAAAAGCUUGCUCUAGUAUUUAAACCUUUAAUAGUGCAAAGUCACAAGUCUUGCAGCUAGUUGAUAUAUCCCCAAGCUAAAAACAUGUGUUGUAUACUCAUUUUUUAUAGUGAUACUAGAACUAUUAUUAUCUUAUGUCUAUGUACGUAUGUUUACAAUUUAUUUCAUAAAUUUACUGAGACAAGUGCCGAAAUUUAUGGCGAAGUACGUCCAAUCUAUUGUCACUAAGGCCCUAUUUGGUAUUUAGAUAAUGUAGUUUUUGUGAAAAAAAAUAAUGUAAUUAAGAAAUAAAAAUUAAUAAUAUAUAGUAAUAUGACUUGUAAAUAAUAAUUUGAAAAAAAUAAUAAAGAAUUAUAAGUUUUUUCAAAAUAAAAGUGGUGGAUCAAAUUAAUUUAGCUUUCAAGUCAUAGCAAGUAGUGUUUAUCAAAUAUAAAAAGUUAUAAUUAUCCAAUCUCAAUCAGAACCUGAGCAUUUUUAGCAAAAACAAUACUUUUAUUCUAUAUUUUACAAAUAUCUUCACCAUUAUUCAGAGCACCAACCCUUAACUUUUUUCGAUUAUGUUUGGUAUAACUUUUUAAGCAGAACUUUUACUAAAAAAAAUAAUUGUUUGAUUGUCAAUGAGAUUUUUUAUUAAAAUUUCUAGAAUUACUUUAAUAGGCAAAUUUCUUAAAGUUAUGUUAUGAAAUGAAUAAAAUAAAAUUGUGAAAUAUAUAAAGCAUAUUUUAGACAAUAUAAUAUUUUUAAAAAAUUUUAACCUCUACUCCACAAAAUUUAAAAUUUAAACUUUUAUUAGUACAAAUAAAAUAAUUUAUUUAAUUUUUUAAAAAUUUUACUCAAAUUAUAAUUAAAUAAUAUUAAGUCUUAAAAAAAAGUUAUAAGAUUAAAUAAAUAUAUUUGACUGAACAUACACUAACUUGAACUCUUGAAAAAUAAAUAUUUUGCGCCACAUAAGUAGGGUCCAAUUAUGUUGCAACUGAUGUAUUAUACCAGAGUUCCUCUUUUUUUCCCCGUAUUAUUGGAUAAUUGAUGCAAAUUAAGCAAAGUUGUUGGGUGCUUCUCGUUCAAUCUAGCAGUUGAAAUUAAUUAUUGGAUAAUUGAUGCAGCGACUAGCAACCGUUGCAGCCGGUUGUAUAUUAAUUUAAUAGCAGUUCAGCGAGCGUGGGUUUCGAAAAUUUGUUAGUGCUGAUUAGAGUCUCACUGAUUUCAUCUGAAAAUUGAUCUCGAGACAUCAAUUAAGACAUAAAAUUAGAAUUAGGGGAUCGCAGUUUUUUUGGGAAUUAAAAUUUCCCUAUGAUUCAUACAUGAAUAUGGCCUCUCACUUGUAGGGAAUUGACGGUGAAAUUAUAAUCGUCACAGCAGAAUGCAAUCAAAAGUUACGGUGCUAAAAGUUUAGGCAUAUAUCAAAUUAGAGUGAAUCUCGCAUCACUUUGAUUUGGUCUUAUGCCGAUCGAAUCACCUGAUGCAGUAUGUAAUUCCUUAUUAAAACUUGCAAUUUUUUAUUUUGAAAAGAUUUAAAAUUUGUAAUUUCAUUACAGAAAUGAGGCGGGGGCUCACAAACAGAAAGCUAGCGAUUUAAAGAGCCACAGUCAAGCUUUAGAAGCCGAUGGUAACAUAGUUAGAACAAUAGAAUCUGAUAGCGUUAGGGAUUCAUAAGCUAUUUGUAAGUAUUUGUACUCCCUGACUAAAUAAUUUGGGAAUAUAAGGAUGCAAUAAGAGUUGAGUGGUCUUUAUUCCAAUAGCAUUAUUUUUUUCGAGCUUCAUCCGUGCUCUAUUCAAUCUUUAUGUGCCGCUUGUGUUAUGUUCCUGCAUAUCUAAUUACCUUUAGAUGCUAGUUGAUAUUUGACAAUUUUGCAGGUUAAGGAUAUUAGAUGGGAUGCAGAGCUUGGCAGUCAGAACAUGGAAUCACGGUUGGUUGAAUACUUUGUAGAUGAGUUUAAUAAACAAGUUGGUAAUUGGGUGAAGUGAGGAAGUCUCCCAAGGCCAUGGCUGAACUGAAGAAGCAAGUUAAAUAUACAAGAGCAAUUCUUUGUGCGAACACAAUGGAACCAAUAUCAGUUAUAUCUUUCCACGAUGAUAGGGACUUCAGAUAAGUGGAGUUAAAGUUCAGAUUUUACUGUUUGAGGUGCGUUUGAAGUUUAUUAACAAAAUUAAUGUGUUCUUUAAAUGAGUGAGGAACUGUAGAACAUGACAAGUAGAGUUUAUUGUGUGAGGGAUGCAUAUUCUCUUACAAGUGCUUUGUUCUUUAAUAUAGCACUAUAAGACAUCUUCUGAUGAAAAAUAGAGUCAAUAAAAUUACUCCAGACUGACUGGGCCGUUACGUUUUGGAUUCCAAUUCUUGCAUGAGAUUUCUUUUUCCUUUUUUUCUUUUUUCAAAUUUACUAGUGGUACUUUCAUUUGGUAAACUAUUCUAUACAUACAUAUAUAUAUAUAUAUAUAUAUAUAUAUAUAUACUCUAAUCAAUUAUAUUGGCUUAUUCUCCUUUUAUGUUGAUUCACGCUGCUGGUAUAGAUAAAAUUUAUUUAUUAGUUUUGGUGAAAAAUUUGUUUUGUUGCACACGGAUAGUAAACCCAAAUACAUUCAUAUGUGUUAGAGCAGCUCAUUAUGCUGAACAGAAGAAGGUGAAGACUAAGAUGAAGAAAAUACAGAGCAAGUUACAGGGCAAGUGUGUCAGCAGUGCCAGCUCAGCUAACAGCUCAGCAGAUUAGUUAAAGAUGGUUGUAAGCAUGAUGUGCAUUGUACUGAAGUUAGUUAGCUUUGAUUACAGUUAGUCUUUGGAUUAGUUAAAUGAAGUUACCGUGAUUGCAUUGUAUAUAAACAUGUGAUGCUUUGUAAAAAGGUUAAGCAAAAUAAAAAUCAAAGUUUGUUAAGGAAAUAUCUCCAGAAUUAUCAAUUCAUUUUCUUAGUAACCAAACAACUUUAUUUUCAUUUUCUUUCAUGGUAUCAGAGCCACUCUAAUGGCUAGUUCCAGUAGCACAACAUCAAAUCCAAAUCAAAUGAAUAUAAAUCAAUCAUCACAUAUCUCCUUUUCGUUCAGCACUCCAGUCAAAUUGGAUCGAUCAAAUUUCAUGAUUUGGCGAAAGCAAGUUCUUACUACAAUAAGAGGAAAUCGUCUUGAAGAUUUUAUUUCUGGAAAUCAAAUCAUACCAGAACAAUACAUUUCUAAUACAGUAGCUGAUGGAUCAGUACAGAGAAUCACGAAUCCAGCUUACAUCAACUGGCGAGCUCAGGAUCAAACUUUGCUUGGCUGGAUUUUGUCAUCCAUAAGUGAAGGUAUCUUAAAUACUGUUCUUAAUUGCGAAAAUUCAUUUGAAGCAUGGAGAUCAAUUGAAAAACAAUUUGGAGUACAAUCUGAGGCUAGAGUUAUGCAAUUGAGGUAUGAAAUGAAUGUCCUUAGAAAAGAGAAUAUGUCUAUUGAGGAGUACUGUUUAAAAGUAAAAGUUGUUGCUGAUAAGCUUGCUUGUGCUGGUAGCCCUGUGUCUGAGAAAGAUCUGCUAAUGCAAAUUUUGAAUGGCCUAGGACCUGGAUUUCUAGAUCUUGCUUCAAUAAUUACUGCUAAUAGAAUGUCGUAUGAUGAUGCUUAUGCAUUACUCUUAACACAUGAGGCAAGAAUGGAACAAAAUCAUAAUACUAAAGAUCUUUUUAGUGCAAACUAUGGGAUGAUGAAUGCUAACUACUCUCAGUUUAGAGGAAAUAAUAAGAGAGGUGGUUAUAGUGGAUAUCAAGGGCAAUUUAAUGCUGGAAAUAGGAAUCAAAAUGGAGGAAGAGGAAUGUUUUUCAAUUCAUUCUCAAGAGGUUUUCCAGCUGGUGGAUAUACUGGUAAUGCUGGUGGCAGAGGACAGCAAAUGAAUGCAUAUGCUUAUAAACCUGUGCUUAACAACAGGCAUAAUUUCAAUAUGAAUCAUGGCUCAACUUCAAUGUCCAAUGGAAAUGGAUCUGAUGAUAAUGUGCUUAUCUGUCAAAUCUGUCAUAAAGCUGGACAUGCAGCUGAUGUUUGUUGGCACAGACACUUUGAUGGCUAUGCUCCUCAACCCAGACAAUUUGGAAGGGGCAGAGGGCAUAAGUCUGCUUAUAUGGCUAACUUUGAUCCACAAAUUGGCUUUACUUCACAAUUUGAAGAUUCAUUUGCUACAGAAUAUCCUGGUUAUCAUGGGUACCAUCCACCUGAUAUGAAUGCAUCAGUUGCAUCAGUAAGUCAUCACUCAUCUGAUAUGCAUUCUGUACCUGGAGCAGCUUAUAUUGCAAAUUUUGAAGGACCAGCUGAUGAAGGGUGGUAUCUUGAUAGUGGAGCUACGCAUCACAUCACUAACAACAUGGCCAAUAUGCAUAUCAGAGAUCAAUUCACUGGAGCAGAUCAGCUCAUUAUUGGAAAUGGACAAGGUUUGCCCAUAACUCAUGUUGGUGAUGCAUCCUUUCUCUUUAAAAGUUCCAAUUCUACACACAAACACUCACCUAUAGUACUUAAAGAUAUUCUGUUGGUGCCUUCCAUUACCAAAAAUUUGUUAAGUAUCUCGAAGCUUACCACUGAUAACAACUUGUCUGUUGAAUUUCUUGGAAAUGUUUGUUUUGUGAAGGAUUCUCUGAGGGGACAGGUACUUCUGCAGGGUCUUGCUGAGAAAGGGUUAUACAGGCUGUUAUUGAAAUCAUCAUCAUCCUCUCAGUUAUCAUCAUCUUUUCUUUCUCACAUGUGUUCCAAUAAACCUUUGUCUAUGCUUUCUUGUUGUUGUUUCAAUUCUGUUCCUUCUGGAGUUGUUACAGAAUCUCAGAAAUCAUGUAAUCAAACUGAUGAUUCAUCUUGUAAAACUUCAGUUAAUAAAGCUAUUUUGCUUCAUAGAAAGUUUGGUCAUCCCAAUCAUCAAAUAUUAACUCAUAUACUCAAAACAGCAAAAUCUAUUCAUUUACCUGCAUAUCAAAAGCAACAAAUGCAUCAGUACAUCUGUGAGGCCUGUCAAAUGGGCAAAACACAUAAACUUCAUUUUCCAAUUACUGAAACCAAAACCUCCAAAACUCUAGAACUUAUACACACUGAUUUAUGGGGUCCUUCUCCCAUUAUUUCUAGAGAUGGUUAUCAGUAUUAUAUAAGUUUUGUAGAUGACUACAGCAGGUAUACAUGGAUUUAUCCUUUGAAGCUAAAGUCUGAGGCAUUAGAAGUCUUUAAGCUCUUUAAACUGCAGGUUGAAAAUCAGUUUAGCACAACCAUUAAGAUGAUGCAAUCUGAUUGGGGGGGAGAGUAUAGACCAUUCACUGAGUUUUUAAGCCAAUUUGGUAUCAUCUUUAGACAUCCUUGUCCUUACACUCAUCAUCAAAAUGGGUUAGUUGAAAGGAAGCAUAGACAUAUUGUUGAAUUGGGUCUGACUCUCUUAGCUCAAGCUCAACUUCCCUUUAAGUUCUGGUGGGAUGCAUUUCAUACUGCUGUAUAUCACAUCAACAGACUUCCAUCUCCUGUUUUGCACCUUUUAACCCCAUAUGAAAAGACAUUCAAACACAAACCUGAUUAUGAUUUUCUCAGAUGUUUUGGGUGUUCUUGUUAUCCUUACUUGAGAGAUUACAAUAAACAUAAAUUUGCCUACCAUUCUAGUAAGUGCAUAUUCAUUGGUUACAGUCCUUCACAUAAGGGCUACAAAUGUUUACACCCUUCAGGUCGAGUCUAUGUGGCAAGACAUGUUACCUUUGAUGAAUCAGUUUUUCCUUAUGCCACUGAGUUUGUUUUUCAUAGUCAUGCUAAAACUGAUUCUCAAAUUUCUCAUUCCCAUACACCACAGCAAAUCCAUCAUAUCUCUUCUUUGCCUGUCAAUAACAGCACUGGUAAUCUGAACUCUGUAAGAUCUGGAAGCAGCAGUUCAAGUCACUCAGAUCAUCUAGAACAGACAGCAACUGAUCAGAAUUCACAACAAGCUACCAUAAAUGACAGGUCACCUUUUCAUACAUGUCCAACAAUUGUUGAAUCUAUACAAAAUAUUCCAGAACCUCCACAUCACUCUUUGCCUAUACAAAGUCACCAUCCUAGCAACACUUCUUUCUAUCCAUAUACACAACCAAAUACACAUCAGAUGAUAACCAGAAGUAAAGCAGGGAUUUUCAAACCCAAAAUUUAUACUGCUGUGCUUACUCACAAGGAACCAGAUACUGUGCAAGAAGCAUUAAAUGAUUCAAAGUGGCUACAAGCUAUGAGGGAGGAAUAUGAUGCCUUGAUUAAGAAUAAUACAUGGACAUUGGUUCCAAGACAAGCUGAUCAGCAUGUGGUUGGAAAUAAAUGGGUGUAUAGAAUCAAAUAUAAUACAGAUGGAAGUGUAGCUACGUAUAAAGCUAGACUUGUUGCAAAGGGUUUUCAGCAAGUGGCAGGGAUUAACUAUUUUGAGACAUUUAGCCCAGUUGUGAAGUCAGCUACAGUUAGAGUAAUACUUAGCUUGGCAGUGAUGAAUCAGUGGAGAAUAAGGCAAGUGGACGUCAAUAAUGCCUUUUUGAAUGGAGAGCUAACAGAAGAAGUUUUCAUGUCUCAACCUGAUGGCUUUAUUGAUGCUCAGAGAUCUGAUUUUGUAUGCAAAUUACACAAGUCUCUGUAUGGGCUCAAGCAAGCUCCUAGAGCCUGGUAUGACAAGCUUAAAGGAUGCUUAAUAAGCUGGGGUUUCACUACUACUAGUUCUGACACCUCAUUGUUUGUUAGGAAGAUCAAGACAUCUAUGAUCAUAGUUCUUAUAUAUGUUGAUGACAUACUGAUCACAGGUCCAAAUACUGAGGAGCUGGAAGGUUUCAUAACUGAAUUCAGCAAAACUUUUGCUCUAAAGGAUCUGGGAGUGUUAUCUUAUUUCCUUGGAAUUGAGGUAUUAUAUGAUGCAGAUUGUAUGUACUUGUCACAGAGAAAGUAUAUCAGAGAUUUGUUAUCGAAGGUAGAAAUGACUGAAUGUAAGGGCAUUGAUACACCCAUGAGUACUGGCUCUAAACUGCAAAAGAUAGUUCAGGGGGAACUUGGAUACUAUCUUGAAGAUCCAACUCAUUAUAGGAGCAUAGUUGGAGGAAUGCAGUACCUGAUACUUACCAGACCUGAGAUUGCGUUUGCUGUAAACAAGCUCAGUCAGUAUGUAGCUGCACCAACACUACAACAUCUAAUGGCAUGCAAGAGAGUUCUAAGAUAUCUAAAGGCAACUCAAGAUUAUGGUUUAAAAUUUUUCAGAGAAGGAAGCUUAACACUCACUAGUUUUACUGAUGCAGAUUGGGCAUGUGACUUAGAUGAUAGGAAAUCAGUUGGUGCUUAUUGCAUUUAUUUAGGCAAUAAUUUGAUAUCCUGGUCUUCUAAGAAACAAUCAGUGAUAACCAGAUCAAGUGCCGAGAGUGAGUAUAGAGCUUUGGCAUCAGUGAGUGCAGAGCUGACAUGGUUACAAUCCUUAUUUUCUGAGUUGGGAUUAAGUUGCAUAGAAAAGCCAAUCAUAUGGUGUGACAACAUUAGUGCCACUGAACUAGCAAAGAAUCCUGUGUAUCAUUCAAGAACAAAGCAUAUCGAAAUUGAUAUGCACUUCAUUAGGAAUAAGGUUCUUGCUGGUGAGUUGAUUAUUCACUAUGUACCAAGUGAAGAACAGAUUGCAGACAUAAUGACCAAGCCUCUUUCAUUUGUAAGGUUUAACUACUUGAGGUCCAAACUCAAUGUCCAUCUUUGUCCUCUGAGUUUGAGGGGGGCUGUUAGAGCAACUCAUUAUGCUGAACAGAAGAAGGUGAAGACUAAGAUGAAGAAAAUACAGAGCAAGUUACAAGGCAAGUGUGUCAGCAGUGCCAGCUCAGCUAACAGCUCAGCAGAUUAGUUAAAGAUGGUUGUAAGCAUGAUGUGCAUUGUACUGAAGUUAGUUAGCUUUGAUUACAGUUAGUCUUUGGAUUAGUUAAAUGAAGUUACCGUGAUUGCAUACAGGUGAUGCUUUGUAAAAAGGUUAAGCAAAAUAAAAAUCAAAGUUUGUUAAGGAAGUAUCUCCAGAAUUAUCAAUUCAUUUUCUUAGUAACCAAACAACUUUAUUUUCAUUUUCUUUCAAUAUGGAUAUCUGGGGUUUGUUUUGUCUUUUAGGAGCAGCAUUACCUGUCGAAAGUUCAAAGAGCUCACUGAACUUAAGCAUUCGGGGUUGAAAAUGGACGAGAUAUAUGCAGUGGAGUUCAUUGGAGGAGCUACUAUAGUGCCAAAGUUGCAGGUUUGCAAUAUCCGCUUUGUUUUGGUAGUUAGCCCGAGUAUUAAAUUCUUGAGGCGUGUAAGGUAGUGGACUUUAGCCAAUUCAAGAGUAGAAUAUAAUAUGUUUACUUGUUUUGAUCUUAAUCUUUAAUCACUUACCCUGAAUAAGAAAUAAUUUUUUAUAUUUGCUCUGCUAUGAUGUUAUUCGGUGUUAAUAGCUUCGUUUUAUUGCUCUUUUCCGCACAAAUUCUUGAUCUCAAAAGAACUUUUAUUUUGAAUAUUCUGCGUAAGGACAAUCUGAUUUAAUACCAUCAGUGAUUUUUCAUUUUUUCUCUUUAGUUUUAAUAUGUUUGAUAACUGUAUGGUUAAGCAAUCUAUGCAAUUUUAUCUUGUCGUAUGUUUGAGCUCAUUUUUUGUUGCACUUCUGAAUAUUUGGUAUUAAUUAUGUGAUAUCGGACAAUACUAUUAACUUGUUAAUUGCUUAAAUCUAAUAUCUUGUCAAAGUCACUAAUAGCAUUUCAUCAUGCAAUGAGUUAAACAUGGAACAAAUGAUGACAUGCGGUUGUGGAAUGUGUUAGAUCUCUGGGAUUCUAUGUCCUUAUGCUUGCAGGGCAACACAAUACAUUUGUUAAAACAUUGAAGACUGUGAUGUCCGCAGAAAAUUAUACGUCAACUUAUGCACCAGGCAUGAUGAAAUUAGCCAAAGACAGUGCUUGGAAGUGGCAAGCGACAAUUUGCUUCUACCAAUGACUUCAGAUCUUAAACCUGUUUCAAGCAAGGCCAGCAAUGACAUUAUGUUCAAAACAGUUUAGCCAGACACACUUGUUCACACCCCUCUACUACAUAUAACCUAGAGGUACAUUUUUUCUUUACAUUCUUUCUAUACGAUUGGGAUUAGGCUUAUCCAGUUCAAUACAUUAUUUCACAAAACUUAUACCAACUUAUUCCUAAUUAUAGUGGACACAAUUAACUUACUUUGGCAAUUGUUUCGAAGAGGUUGACAUCAACUACCAGUGAUGACAAUCUCUUGUAAUGUUUUGGUGCUAUCUACUAAAUAUUACUACUACAUAAUAUUGACAAUUCAUCUAUGUGCAGGCCCGUGAUAACCAUUUAGAUCGACCAGAUAAAGGACUUGGACAUCAACAAUUUGCCCAGAAACCAAUAAGAUAUUGUAAUCAUAAGCAAUCACCCAUCUCUUUGGAUGGUGCUCUAUUGUGAUUCUUUCCUCUAUGACUGUUAAAUAAGCAAUGUAUUGCACUUUUGUUAUGCAAAAGUAUGGCGACCAUGUAUCAACCAGUGCAUCUAUUUUAUACACUAAUUAUGACUUACUAGAAAUUUUAUUACAUUAAUCAUUUUUAGAUAGCUACUCAUCGCAAACGAAAUAAACUGUUCAGGGACACUUGACCCAACAUGCUUGUGACCGACCUUAGAAUAAUUUUUUGUCACUUAAUAUAGACAACUUCUACGAGGUUAAUAUUUCUUCAAAUUUUAACAAAAUCAUUGGCCACAUGAAAACAUACACAUGUUUCCGUUGGCAUGUUAAGUAGACGGGAACAACAUGCGGGGUAUGUACGCCAUUACCUUAAACGAAGCAAAAUUAUCUUGUGUUUAUCAAAGUUUGAAACUAAUUCUGUGCUUACAAAGAAUGUAUGAAUAACGCAUUAUACUCAUACACCAAAUUUUAAUAUGAUGGAAUCAAGUAAUUCUGUCUUAAUCAAAGUUUUUAGACUUACAAGAUGAUGGUCAAGUUUAUAUAAAAGCAAAUAACACUGAAAUCUAAUCAUCCUAUACAAACAAAUAUGAUUUAUUCAAUUAUAGCAAACAAUUGUUUUAUCGGAGUUAAUUACAUUAUUGCUAAACUUGUAUAAGUUUUCCUGUUUCAAACAUAUCUACUUAAUUACAUUAUUCAUCGACAAUGUUACUUUGCCAGUGGAAGUUUCAUUUUUUCAUACCUUAAUCACUAUUUAAUGCUUCGUUUUCCAAUAGUUCUAAUUCUUCAAAUUUUGGUUUUAUUCUUCCAUAAUUAUAAAUUGAUACUGAUUCGCAUGACUCAAAUUAAAGUGGUUAAUUACUCUAAAGUAUAAAUCUAGCAGUCAAUAAUUACAUAAAAAUAAUUGCAAAAAAAAAGUUAAUAAGGAAUAGUAUAAAUUUAAAAACUGCCAAAGUUACGAGAUAUAUGCUUGAUAUUUAAAUCAUGGCCAUAAUACUUUCUCACAUUAUAUAUAUAUAUAUAUAUAUAUAAUGUGAUUCAGUUCUUUAAUUAACCACUCUAUGAAUAAAUAUGAGAAUUAAGUACAUAUUAUGCCACAACCUUAUUGAAGUGUUCCCACUACAAUAUUAGUAGUCAACAUUAGGUCUAAACACCCACAUAAAUCCAAGGGAUCUAGAUCUACAAAUAUUAACCACUCUAUGAAUAAACAUGGGGAUGAAGUACAUAAUUGCCACGACCAUAUUGGAAUGUUUCCACUACCAUAUUCGUGUGUCAACGUUGCGUCUAAACAUUUAUAUACAUCCAAGCAAAUUUAUAUUUGUAAAUAAAUAUAAAAUAUGGAAUGAAAAUAAUCGGUAGAAAAUAUAAAUUACAAACAAUAAACUUAAAAUACAUUUGAGAAAGUAAUUAAAUCCACAAUUUAGAUCCUUGAAUUUCACACUCAUCACCUUAGCUUAAAACAUUAGCCACUCAUAUUAAUAAAAAAAACACUCAUUUUGUUUUAUAAAUUUGUAAAAGUAUAAUACAAGAAAAAUUAAAAUAAAGAAGAGAAAAAAAAAAUCUCUUCUUAUUAACUACACUUCUUCAUAAAAUUCACUCUAAAUUUCUCUAGGAAACUCACCUCUAAAAUUCUACACACCGAAUUAUCAAAUCUCUUGCCUUUAUAUAAAGGUAAAUUCUAGGUUGAUCAAGUGUGGGUAUUUACAUGAUAUUUUUGGUGAACUUGCAACCACAACCUUUAAAUGACCUUUGAUAAUACAAAUACAAUCCAAGGGGUCCAAAAUUGCAAGUAUUGUCAUGCAUAAUAAAACGGUUCAUUCAACAUAAUCAAUGGCUAUAAAGAAGUCAAAUCGGGAUCCUCCAUUGGAUUUUUUUUUCUUAAUUAUUCAAGGUGGUUGAAUCACUAUAUUGAUAAGUAUUAAAUUUAGUAUAAAGAGGUGCAUGUGAGCUCAGACACACGACACAUAUCAACUUUUCAGAAUUAAUGUUAGAUAAAACGGCUACCAAUAUUUUUGUGAAAAUUAAAAUUAAAAUUUUUACUUUUAUUUAAUGUAUACUUUCUAGUAUUAAUCAUUAAUGAACAAUUUUUUAUUUCAUCGCCGUCUAGAUUGCUUUUAUCUUAUACAAAUUUAUUUAAAACCUUUAAAUAGUUUCUAACCACUAUAUAAUUUUAUCUGUCGUCCUUAAUCUUGUUAUCCACAACUGACCAACAUAUUGUUACCUACCAUUAUAGUUGUGUAAUUCACCUUUUGUUAACUGACUUCACUAAUAUAUUUUAAAAGAAACGUGGCCAUCUGUUGCUCGUUGGAUCACUUGCUUUUAAAUCCAAUAAUUCCGUGAGAUAAAGACAAAACGCUUGCUAUAGCGCUACAGUUACAACAUAGACGUGGCCGUAGAGGCGAGAAAAAAAAUCUAUUUGUUUAGUCACUGUACACUUUUUCAUUCAUUUUGUCCGCUUCCAAAUCCUCGGGAGAAACAACACAAAUAAAAAAAAGAUUUUAAGAAAUUUGAUGCCUUGUUCGCCGAAUCUCUCCACUUUUAAAUAGUGUCGUGAUCCUGAUCGUGUGAUCUGGUAAUGGUAUGACAAUUACUUUGGAGAAAACACCGGCCCACUUUUAAUAAAAUAAAUUUUAUACCAAACGAAUCAUAAGGCAAAAACACUGCACUUACCUAUCCAUACUGAUUAAACUCCCUCACCAUCACAUUUUAAUAAUGACAAUUGGUUGUGUUAGCAUUUUGGUCAAAAGGCUGGACCCCCCCGCCCCCACAAAACAAACAAAAAAAAAUUAUGAUAAUAAUUAACAUUCAUAAAUAAAAAUUAAUAAUGGGUGUGUUAGCAUUUUGGUCAAAAGCGGGUUUGACCUUCACAUUAAUUGGAAUUUUGGAUCUAUAAUAUGAUUUUCACCGAAAAUAUAAUUUUGCCGCUAAUUAUUUGGGUAAUCAGAUAAUAAUAACAAAAAAAUGUUAUCUCUCACCUAUAACUUGAGGAGAUAAUAAUAAAAGUCUUUCAUCAUAAUCUACUGUUAGUUUCUCUUCUUCAUUUUUUUCUCCUUUGAAGUCUUUCAACAAAAAUGGGUGGCAUCAUCUCAACCUUCUUCUCAGCGGACACAAUUCGUCCAAUUUUAUUUUACGUCGGUGGACAAGCAAAGUAUAUAUGGGGUCUUAAAGGUAAUCUCGAUGACUUGCAGACUCAAAAGGAGAACUUGAUUGCGAAAAAACAAGAUCUGCUGAAUAAGGUUAAGCUUGCCGCGCAACAACCCCGAAUCAGACGGACGACGACGGUGGAACUUUGGUUUAAAAGGGUGGAAGAAAUGGAAACUAAAGUUGAAAAUCUGCAAAAAGAAGGAGAUCAACAGGUUGAUAGACUGUGUCUUGGAGGCUUCUGUUCCACGGACUUGAUUUCAAGCUACGACUUCGGCAAAAAAGUGGAGAACUUGAGAGAAAAAGUGAUCGAACUGAAGAAAGAGGGGGAAGCAAU